This 59064-nucleotide long non-coding RNA is filed under the name Populus tremula. RNAcentral describes it as "long non-coding RNA (PTRE_LNC000663)". The record is from RNAcentral. Lineage: Eukaryota; Viridiplantae; Streptophyta; Magnoliopsida; Malpighiales; Salicaceae.
CACCUUUUUCUUUUUCUUGUCUUACUUUACAAAUCUGGUCAACAUUUCAUAAAUUUUUGUUUUAUUCAACCCGUAUACCCAUUUUAAUAUCCGGACCCAUAUUUGAUUUUUUCCACUAGGAAAAUUCCAGUUGUUAUUGUUGUUGAAGAUAUUUGAAUUCUUUAGUUUAUGUUCUAGAUAAUUAUUAGUUUAUAGGUUCACAUUACGGGCGGGAUCAAUUUUUUUUAACAUUACAAAUAUUAGUCAUGAUAUAAAUAAAAUCAAUAAAGCAGUUGAACUUUGAAAUCUUCUUAUUUGACUCAUUGGCUAGCUUAUGUUUUAAAUUAAAUCGUACAAAGUUUUUCUAAUGUGAUCAAGUCGACUUAGUAGGUUCAAAUGUCAAAUACAUUCUGGUUGAUAGAUAAAAAAAAAUUAGAUGAUAAAAUUCAAAAAACCAAAAGAUUAAAUUGACGUAAUAAACCUCUUGACCUAAUUUAUUGCCAAGUUUAAAUCUAAAAUUAAAUUAUGUGGUAGUUGCCUUAACAUAACUCCUUCGACUUAAUCGAUCCCAAGGCAAAGUAAUUGACAGGUUAAAAAAAAAAUUUGACAAAAAAAAACUCUUAACUUGAUUCUUUGUUGAGCUUGGUUUAAAAUAGUUUGAUUGAUUCUAAAGCAAUUCAAAUCAUUAUUAAAAAAAUUUUGAGAAUGAAACUAAAAAAAUAUGAUAAUGAAAUAAAUAACAAGGAAAAAUGAAAUUAAAAAAAAAGAAGAAGAAAAAAAAGAAGAAGAAAAGGUAGAGCUUCGCUAUUAUAUGACUAACGAAGCUCUAUUGAGAUUGCCAUGGUAAUGGACUAUCCACUUACUCUAUAUGGAUAUCCAUCGACAACCCAUUUUUUGCAAGGCCUCUAAAGUCUAAAUUUCUUGUAUCAGCAGCAGUAUAAGACUGGACCAAUAUUGCCAGCUAGGGAUUCCUGACGCAUCACCUGACGCAACCACUCAAGAAAUCCCUCCAAUUUCUUCUAAAUAUAUCCAAUUUCAAUCCAAAAAUUAAAAAAAAAAAAUCUAUCUCUUUUUGGUCCACCCUUCAAACCCUUUUUAUAGCCGAGCUCAUUGCAGCGGCUAAAGACUUCAAAGACUGUGCACACAUAAUUAACACGUACACACAGACACCUCUCUCCUUCUCUCUCUCAAGAAAAACUCUCUUCUCUCCUAGCAGUUCUUCUUGUUUUCUUUCUUUCAUUUAUGGACAAAGGAUGGGGUCUUACCCUCGCUUCUGAUCCUGUUUCUGUCUUCUCUAGCAACAACAACAACAGCCCAGUUGGCUCUUUUUUGAAGAUCAAAAGAGACUUCAUUAGUGAUCAUAACAUGGAUCAUACUAGGAACAAUAAUAUGUUUCAGUUUCCAGGUAGUCUUUCUGCUGGCCAAGAUGAGCAACCACCUUCUGCUGCUCACGAAGUAGAUUUCUUUAAAGAAAAGAUAAAUAAGGUUGGUGAAGAUGAUUCUAAGACCACAAGUGUUAUUGUCAAGAAGGAGAAUUCCAUUGCUGAACUUGCUCCAAGGUCUACCAGGACUGCUCUUGAUGAUGUAAAUGUAAGAAAAUGAAUCUGUUUUUUUCUUUUUUUGAGUUAUUAUGGCUUAUAUAGUUUUUUCUAUAAAUAGAGAUGUUGAUUUUAUUUUAAUUUUGUUUCUAAAUAUAGACUGGGUUGCACCUUCUGACUGCUAACUCUAGAAGUGAUCAAUCAACUGUGGAUGAUGGAGUUUCAUCUGAUGUUGAUGAGAAGAGAUCAAGGAACAACGAGGUAAUUAUAAGUUAAAACACAAUCCAAAUCGAUGGUCCAUUAUUUUUUUCUUCUAAGAUUUCCCAUUUAUUUAAUUUAUAUAUAUAUUUUUACAUGUAGAAGUUGGCACAAUUACAAAUGGAGCUGCAAAAAAUGAAUACAGAAAAUCAAAGGUUAAAAGACAUGCUUGGUCAAGUAACCACCAGUUACAGUGCUUUACAGAUGCAUUUUGCAGCACUAAUGCAGCAACAUCAACAACAAAAUCAUGGAAAAGAAAGCAAUAAAGAGCAAGAGGUAAUUAAUUUUCUCUCAAAAUAAUUCCAAGCAUCCUUGACAUGAUGGCGAUGAUGAUGAUGAUUUUAGUGUACCGUGUUAACUUGGUCCAGGCAGGCUAAAUGAUUUGUUUUUUAUGUGUUCAGAUUGUUCAAGGAAGAUCUUCUGAGGAAAAGAGACAUGAGGACGUAGUAGUGCCCAGACAAUUCAUGGAUCUAGGCCCUUCAGCUGAGACUGAUGAACUAUCCAAUUCAUCGUCCGAUGAGAGGACUCGUUCUGGAACACCUCAAAACCAUAUUGAAGUUGCAUCCCCGAAAAACAAUGGUAAACUUCCAUAUGAUCAAGAAAAUUCUAGCUUCCGGGAUGGAAAAAGAAUUGGCGGGGAAGAUAGUCCUGAAUCUGAAUCACAAGCAUGGAAGGUUCAGAAAACGGAUCCUGCCAGUCCUGCUAAUAAGGCUAUAGAGCAAUCGACCGAGGCGACGAUGAGAAAAGCCCGUGUGUCGGUUCGUGCACGAUCGGAAGCUCCCAUGGUAUGUAACUAGCCAAGACUUGUUCAAAAACUUCAUAUAACUUUCAACAAAUUGGAGUGGAACUAAUUUGGUUUGACCGAUUCCAGAUUACUGAUGGCUGCCAAUGGCGAAAAUACGGUCAGAAGAUGGCCAAGGGAAACCCGUGUCCGAGGGCUUAUUACCGGUGCACCAUGGCAGUGGGUUGUCCAGUUCGAAAACAAGUAUGUUUUAGUCCAUUUCUUGAUCCUCGUUUUCAAUCUAAGCUAGGGAUGAUUUGAGGAAUCGUCGAUAAUCCAAUCAAGAUUUUAUCUAAGAUCCUAGUGUAAUUUAUGUUGGUGAUUGAUUUCAGGUUCAACGUUGCGCGGAGGAUAGAACAAUCUUGAUCACAACCUAUGAAGGCAAUCACAAUCACCCUCUACCUCCAGCUGCGAUGGCAAUGGCGUCAACAACAGCAGCAGCUGCAAGCAUGUUGCUAUCAGGAUCAAUGUCAAGUGCAGAUGGCAUUAUGAACCCAAAUUUGCUAGCAAGAGCAAUACUGCCAGCUGGCUCAUCAAAUAUGGCAACUAUUUCAGCUUCAGCUCCAUUCCCUACUGUAACAUUAGACCUCACUCAUAAUCCAAACCCUCUACAGUUCCAAAGACCUCCUCCACAAUUCCAAGUCCCUUUUCCAGGCCAGCCUCAGAACUUUUCCUCAGUCACAACGCCACAAUUGCCUCAGGUUUUUGGUCAAGCCUUGUACAACCAAUCGAAGUUCUCUGGCCUACAAUUGUCUCAGGAAACUGGGACUCCACAAUUAGGCCACCAAGCUCAACCCCACUUAGUGCACUCAGGACAACAACCUUCCCUAUCUCAGGACACAUUGAGUGCGGCCACUGCCGCAAUCACCGCCGAUCCUAACUUCACUGCAGCACUUGCAGCUGCCAUCAGCUCCAUCAUUGGUGGUGCUAACAGCAACACCACCAACAACAACAAUAACAGCAAUGCCACGAACAACACAAGCCACAGAAAUUAAUUAGACAUAUCUCUUAUCAAUUUUUUAGUUUUUUUAUGAAUAGUUAAUUACAUUUUCUUGUUAUCAAUAGUUCUUUUUCUCUUUCUUCCCUUCUUCCGAGGGAUGAAAAUGAGGUUCAGAUGUUCAUAGUUUCUUUUUUUUUUUUCCUUGUUGGGGGUCGAAAGGAUAGAAAUUAAAGUAAUCAUAAGAUUUUCAUUUAUUUUGUUGUUGUUAUUUCAUGCUUUAAUAGUUUGUUUCAAAUUGUUCCGUUGAUCAACAUAUAUAUAAAGCUAGCACGAUCAACAUAUAUUUUCGAACCCAUUAAUGGUUUAUCAAUCGUGCUAUUUGGUUAUGGUCACAAGAGCAAUAAAUUAAAAUAAAAACAACAUAUUUUUAUGAACUUUCAAUUAUGAAAAUACAUAAAUUUAUAAAAGAGGUAAGUUAUUUAAAAAGUUUAUAUAUAUAUUUCUUAAUUAUCUCUCAACCUCAAACCUCAUUUACUUUCUUUCUAGUUUUCAUAUCCCAAUGACUUGUUCACAUUCAAUAAUUAGCGUUUGCAAGUGAACAAAUUAAAGAAAUAAAUUACAAGUCAAGAAACCAGCGAAUAAGUUUCGAAGAACACAAAACAUUUUGGUGAUUUAUUAAACAGUCAAGAACUACGGCUAGACGUCUGUGUACAACUGUUUGACACGUAAAAUGUUAGAGUGUAAGGUGGAAGGAGCCCUAGCUUGCCUGCAAGAGUGGACUUUGAGGAGACUUCUAGGCAACUACAACACCAUGUGGGGGGUGAUAAAUGAAUGAAUCAAAAUUGGAUCGUGAAAGCUAUCUUCUAAGGUCAAAUUUGGACCAAUAAAGAAAGAAAUGGGGAUUUGGUAAGUUUCGUGGAGAGUGGUGAAGGUAGGGGCUAAUUUCAUUGGACAGUCUAGGAAACCUUUGUUGACUUUCCGUGCAAAUUAGCCUCCCUUUCUUUCUUUUUUUAUUUUUUCUUUGACAUCUUGUCAUGUUCACGUGGAUAAUUGAAGGUCGAGCAUGGCGGGUCGCAACCGUACCUCAUCAAUCCAUCCACCGUACAUGGAAGGAUCUUUCACUCUUCUUAACUUUACCAACCGUUCAUGUGAACCUAGCUACGAGCAUAUGACUUGCAAGAGUGAUUUGUGAUUUGCACAGAAAAUAACUUUUUGGAAUUUCUUUAUAUAUAUAUAUAUGAGAUUGUGAUCUUCGAUUACCCUUUGCACAGCUUUCAGGAAGAUGAAAAGAAUAAAGGAUUGAGAAAAUACGUUCAACUAUCAAUAGUUAAUUUGUGCCCUUACUAUUCUCAUCAUAAAUGCGAGUUGGACUAAACAGUUUGCUAUAAUUAAGAUCAUGGACCUCAUGGCCCCACAUCAAGUAUUAGAUUUGAAAAUGGAUUUGUUUUUUUUUUCUUUCUUUCUUUCUCAUGAAAGAUUUAAGCAUGAUGUCCUUAACAGAGAUCUUACAAAAAAAUAACUUGUUCAUGCAUCUCAAAGAGAAAGAUCAUUCAUCCAAGUAAUGUGGUGGAUAUAAAUAAAUUGCCACGUGUAACUAGUUUAUAUAAACCAAAUCAAUAACAUUUAUUUCUGAAGAUUCAUGAAUCAAAUCAAUCAUGUUAUGAUAACGUGAACACCAAUAUUAUUAGGAUGCCCAUAGAUAGUUUGGAUCCACCUAAAUCUAGUUGUUGUAUUGAAUAUUGUUUUUCUAGAAGAAAAACUGACAUUGAUGCAUUCAAAAACUAAAGAUUAUAGCACAAUAACGAGGAUUGCAAAUGUAAUUCAUGAAUUCACAAUUUAUUUUUAAAAAGUUAUUUUUAAGAGGUUUAUAAAUCCCUUAAAUAUAUCAAAAAACUCUACCAUACUAUAAAACAACUGAAAAUCUUUAAAAAAAAAGGAAAUAAAAUAUAAAUCCAAAAACACAUAAAAAAUAACAAAAUUAGCCCAAAUAAAAGUAUCUAAACUUAAAAAUUUAAUUUCAAAAGAUCCAACAAUCUAAUCAACGAUGCUGUGGUUGCAUAUUAGAAAAACACUCAUAGGAUUACAUGGAAAAAUUUAAAACUAAUCCAACAACUAAAUUUUUUGCUAUUAUAAUUUUUAAGUAGUAAUAUAAUUUAAUGCAACCAGAUCUUUUAUUAGAUUUAAACAAGUUUUGGUAGUCUAUAAAAACACAAUAUAAACUAUCUAUAAAAUAUAUUUGUGUCAAAUCCUCAUUUAAUGGUGUGGGAUCCUCCCUUGCAUACUCCAAACUUUUGUUUCAACAAGCAUAGCUACGUACAUCAUAAAAUAAGCUUUAAUUAGUAUUUUAUGAAAGUUAAAGGUUAAACAAAUCUCUCAGACGGAUCAAGAGGCAUAUAUGAACUUCAUUGUAAUUUUUAAUGCUUCAUCUAGCAAAGAGACCAUGGAUGCAUGCAAGAGUUAAACUUAAUUUUCAAGCAAAUAUCAACGGUGGUAGAGGAGAAGGCUCAUUGAUGUAUGAUGUCGUUGAAACAUUUUAUUGCUUUUUUUUUUUUUCUUAUGGGGCAAUAUGCAGGCCUUCUCAAAAGAUCCGUCGAUGCCAUACUGCACGCAUUGACAGUCCAUACCAAUUGGAUUUGAAGGACUAAUUGAUAUAAAGCUUAAGGCAUUGGUUUGAUUCCCAACUGGACGGCCCAAUUCCUUCACUAAAUAAGUUGGCCCAAAACAAAAGGCCAACUUAUUGGUUUGGGCCUUUGGGUUUAAAAUUUAAAGCAUCUCUGUUGAUGUAUUUAAGGUACACGUGUAUCUUAACAGAGUUCUCACUCAUAUGAUCUACGUUGUCGUAUUAAGUGCCUAGUCUGAAUGGUUAAAUCCCAAUCAAUAUCUGGUCGGAUGACGUGUAUCCUCCUUUAUAACAAAUACAUACAAAGUUUUAAAUGGAGUUUGGUUAAAAUUUUAAUUUUUUUUAUUUUCUUAUAUCAAAAAUAUUUUUUAAAAAUAAAAAAUAUUAUUUUAAUAUAUUUUUAAAUAAAAAAAAUUAUAAAAACAUUAUAACUUCUUUAGUCAUUGAAACGUCUCGUAACUUAUCAAGAGGCUUGUUUUACAGAUUCUGAGUUUUUACACACAACCCAACACACUGAAAUAUCAACCACCUCACCUACAACUUGAGAGCUCGUAUGCCUGGUUGGAUUGAGAACAUCAUCUUCCAGCAGUAGGAUUCAUUAAAAUAUAGAUAUACCAUCAUGGUAAGAAUCAAAUAGAGAAAGCAAUAAUUAUAUAGUAGAUAAUCUAGUAGUAAAAACAUAAAAUUAAAAUGUUUGUUUUUUUUAUAGUUUUAAUUUUGAAUUUUAAAAUUAUUAAUAUUGAUUAUCACUGAAAAAUUAUGUAGUCGUUAAUUUUAGGAUCGUGAGGAUUAGUUAAUAUAUGCACAAACUGGCUUGUACACUUUCCAUGAAUAAAUAAAAAAUAAAAAAUAAAAAUAGCCGAAGCAAAACUUGAAACAAAAAGCUCACAACAUGGAUGGAUUUUACAUGUGAUUUUCCCAGUUUCCACCACGUUUUAGUUCUUACUGAUCGAAAAGAGAAACAAAAAAAAAAAAAAAAAGAGGAGGAGGAUGAAUGCUUGUCCUGACCAAGCACACUACAUAUUUAAAGCUCUUUUUUUUUUUCCUUUUUUUAACCCUGCGGUUUUGGAUGACGAACUCGAUGUUUUUGUUAAUGGUUCGCUCAUGAAAACAACAUUUUUUCCCCUUCGUACGUUUGCCAUCUUGAGAGACAAUACAAUUCUUGCACUCAACAAGUGGUCUUCGCUUACUGAAGCUAGCUAGCUUGCCAUAUCGCAUGAUCAUUGCUUGAACAUGUGAGUUGAAAUUAAUGGACUUGCUUGCAGGCAACAAUUUAAUUAGCUUCAUAAUGGCUAUGCUCAGUCAUGCAUUAAUUAAUGAAGGAGUUGGUCCCUUUUUCCUUAUUUAUUUUAUGGGGUAUUGUUAAAUUAUUGACAUGUCUCAUAUUUAUGUAUUAUGCACACACGGUAAGAAUCGGACAAUAACAAUGAAUUAAAUAUCAAAGGUUUUAUAGCUUAUUAUAAUUAUCAUGUGAAAUUUGAUAAUUAUAAUAAAUAUCAAAUACAUAAGAGAUAACAUCAAAGGUUUUCUAGCUUAUUCCGAUGUUUUUUUUUUACAUAGAAGAUAUCUUGAAAUUCAAGAUUAAUUCAUGAUAUCAAACUCAAGGAAAUAUAAAAAGAAAACCACACACCAUUGUCGUCACUUGAUUCAAGCCACAGACUCGUAAAUGGAAGCAAAGUGUCGCGUGUUAAGGCAACCAAAUUGCAUGCUUAGCUGAGAUGUCAGCUUCUCUCUUGUAACGCCACCCAGCAUUAUGCUUCGUCACGAUACCCACGCUCUCUUUUAUCCCAUGACCUACACGUCAUACAGCAUCCCAACUUCAUCAUGCCCUUAAUCACCGUUCAUCUCACGAUCAACGGCUAAGAUGGAUUGUGAAAAACCAUCCAGUAAGGUAUGGAUCCCUUAUUAUAUGCUUUAUUUUAGCUUGUUUUGAGCCCCUUCAAUGAGGGCAAAGACGAGAAUAUCGUGCGUUUGGAACGUGGAUUCCUAGAUGGUUUAAGGGCAAUUUUGGUCCUUGAAGCUAACCAACUCUCACAAAUUGACCCCCAUUUUUCCAGAUAGAUACAGAAAAGUCCUUGGACUUUGAGUUUAGAAUUAUAGGCAUCCCUUCAUUGCAGUCCAUCCAUGUUAAAAGUCUUUUGAAUUUUCUUCGACUUUGUUUAAUCAUGUAAAACCCUGUCAAAGAUGCGGAUAAUAGUCAUAAAAAUCGGUAUUACUUAGACGGAAGCAAUGACAUUUAGGGUCUGAAUCACCAGAUAGUGGCUGCAAGAAAAAAAAAUUGUUUUUUUAUUAAUGCACUGGUUCAACUAUGAAAGAUUUAUGAAAUAUUUAAUUAAAGUCCAACUCUUUAGUUUGAAAGUAUUUUUAUAAAAUUUGAAAUUUAUUUUACUUUAAAUUAAUUUAUUUUAGAUAUUUCUAAAUCCUUUUGAUAUAUUGAUGUCAAAAAUAAUUUUUUAAAAUAAAAUUCUUAUUUUAAUGCAUUUUCAGAUAAAAAUUAUUUUAAAAAACAACUAUUAUUAUAAUACCAAACAAAUUCUUAAUCUUAAUAUAUGAAAAUUGAUUUUAUUAUACUUUUAUUACGAAACCAAAUAGAAAAUGGAAGGUAAUGCUGCAAUAACACUAUAAAAACUAAUUUAAAACUUUUUCUUUUCUUAUGUUGCAUAGGAGAAUCUAUAAUUUUUUUUUUUAAAAAAGAUAAUAAUAUAUAUUCAAACAUGGCUAUUUUUCAGCUUCACAAUGCAAUUAGUGUAAAAUAUAGAAAAAUAUAAGAACUAAUCUUAAUGAUAAAUAUAUUCAAGAUUUUUACACUAAAUUUAGUAACUUAAUUUGGAGAUCUUGUAGUCCUUUAAAUUUGCUGUUGGAGUGGCUACUGAGUCAAACUUGUAAAAUUGGCUCAUAACUAAUCAAUUAAUAAGAAAUUACUAGCUUAUAAAAACAUAACAAACGUGAAUUGAUUAUACUAAAUAUUUAUACUAUAUAAUUAGCCUUAUUAUAUUAUAAUCUUUAUUAGUGGACCAAUCAUAAGCUUAAAACAAGAAAACAAAAAUAACAUAAGGAGUACUGCAGCAAGCAUACUCAACAAUUCCUCUCAUUGUUCUGGGAUAGAAAGUUUAAGGACUUAAGAUAAACUUGCUCAUAACAAAAGGAUUAGAAUGUAAUAAAACCAAAUUACAAAGACCAAAAAGGGUUCAGCAGUCAGACCAUUCCAAAAUCAAUGGUUAAAGCCUAUAGAAUCUACACAUUCAACAGCCAAGAUUAAGCCUUACACUUCGAAAGAUACCAAGUAGCUUAGCUGGGCCCUUGUGAGUCUAAGAAGUUGACAGGUCAGUUCUCUCCUUGUUUCUAUAUAUUCUCCUCUCUGCUCCUGUUCGGUCACUGUGACACACACUAUCUCUCCUUUUUCUCUUUGGCUUUUCAAAAUCGGUGAGCAUCUUUAAUUUUUUUUCUUUAUAACCCAUUUUUAUUAAUGUGUUUUUGUGAUUAUUUUUUGUAAAAAGUUAGUUUCUUUUUCUGCGGUUGUUGUUAAUUUUUAACCUUUUUCUUUGUUUUGAUUAACUUUUUUUUGUGAGUUUGAUUAAUGCUGGUUGGAAUUUGGAUUAUGCUGUUAAAUUAGAGUUAGUUUGAGUCAGUUUGUUUCUCCUUUUGUGUACUGAAGUUGGUUUCAGUAAAGUUUCUUUCUUUGUUUUGGAAUGAAGAGCUAGGUGCUAAUUAUUUUCUGCUUUGGUGUGGUUGAGGCUUGAAUAGACAUAAAGGGUUUGGAAGUUUUGAUCCUUUACUUUAUUAGUUUUGUAGAAGUGUAAAGAUUGAAUAAAGAAUCGAGCUUUACUUGAGCCAAGAUCAUGCAGUGGAGAACUGCUUGUUUCUGAGUGCAAUUUCAUGACUUUAUGUUAGACUUUUGAUUCAUGAUUAUUGAACUUGAUAUUAGCCUUUUUCUUGAUGUUGCAUGUUAAUCAUUUUGGAUUAAUGUGAUUGAUCAUAUUGGUUAUUGUGUUUUCUGAAUUGGACUUUUUUUAAAAAAAACAAUUUGUUAAUGUGAAUUUACAGGUGUAAAAAUGGGAGUGAACUUGAAAGCAAUUGGGGGGUUUGUGCUUCUUUCAUUUUUGUUGUUUGCUGUGGUAUUAUCCGAGUCAAAUGAUGGUUUGCUUAAAAUUGGAUUAAAGAAGGUGAAAUUUGAUAAGAACAACCGAAUUGCUGCACGGCUUGAUUCCCAAGAGGCUUUGAGAGCUUCUAUUAGGAAGUAUAAUCUCCUUGGUAAUCUUGGAGAAUCUGAGGAUACUGAUAUUGUUGCUUUAAAGAACUAUUUUGAUGCUCAGUACUAUGGUGAGAUUGGUGUUGGGACUCCUCCUCAGAAAUUCACAGUGAUUUUUGACACUGGUAGCUCCAAUUUGUGGGUGCCAUCAUCUAAGUGCUAUUUGUCGGUGAGUUUAUGCAUGCAUUAUUUUUUUAUGUUCGUUAUAUAUGCGUAUCAAAUAGAUUAAUGGUUUCACUUUGCUAUGCAGGUUGCAUGUUACUUCCAUUCCAAGUACAACUCUGGAAAGUCGAGUUCCUACAAGAAGAAUGGUUUGGUUCCUUGCUAACAAAGAAUUUAUUAAUUUUUUUUUUUUUUGCUGUUUGUUCUAUAAGAAGAAAUUUUAUCUUGUUAAUUUGUAUGUGGUGCAUUGAAGUUUUAUCAAGAAUGUUUAGGUCCGUAGGAAAUAUGGAAAUGCUGCAUGUUAAUUACUUAGGUAUGUGGUUGUCAUGAUGAGCUACUAUGUGUAUACAUGCUAACAUUAGCUAGGAACCAAGGAUGCGAUGCUAUCAUUAUAAUUCUAGGAACUAGGGAUGCUAUCAUUAUAAUCCUAGGAACUAGGGAUGCUAUCAUUAUAAUCCUAGGAACUAGGGAUGCGAUGCUAUCAUUAUAAUUCUAGGAACUAUGGAUGCUAUCAUUAUAAUCCUAGGAACUAGGGAUGCCAUCAUUGUAAUCCUUAACCAUACAAUGCAGCACUUGCUACAAUUUUUUAGUCUAAAUCGCUUGUCAUUCUGCAGUUGCAUGAGCUGUUUGGCUGGGAAACUAUCAUUUGGGGUGAUUACUGUUUUUUUUUUUUUUAAACUGAGUCUAUUAUGAUGAAUUUUGCAGGAAAAAGUGCUGAAAUUCAGUAUGGCAGUGGAUCCAUUUCUGGUUUCUUCAGUAUUGAUGCUGUCGAAGUUGGUAACCUGGUUGUGAAAGAUCAGGUAAUGUUGUGCCUUGCAACUUAUUUGCAUGUUAUUACAUGGUGUGAUAUGUCUGUUCUCACUCCUGUUUUUGAAUUUUAAGGAAUUUAUCGAGGCAACUAAGGAGCCUAGUAUCACAUUUUUGGUGGGCAAGUUUGAUGGUAUUUUGGGACUUGGGUUCAAAGAAAUUGCAGUAGGAGGUGCUGUUCCAGUCUGGUACUUGUCUUAUCUCUUAGUUCUCACUGAUCAUCUAAACCUUUUUUAUGGUUUGUGUUUGAGCUGACAUAUUGCAUUUUGAACAGGGACAACAUGAUUAAACAGGGUCUCAUCAAGGAACCGGUAUUUUCUUUUUGGCUUAACCGCAAUGCGGAUGAUGAAGAAGGGGGAGAAAUUGUAUUUGGUGGGAUGGACCCAAAUCAUUACAAGGGCAAGCACACAUAUGUUCCUGUGACGCAGAAAGGCUAUUGGCAGGUUGUUGGCUGUAACCUUUUCUUUUCUUGGAGUUCUAAAUAUAUCUCAUCUGUAUUUUUCAAUUAUUUUUCUCAUUUUGUUGUAUCAUAGUUCAACAUGGGUGAUGUCAUUGUUGGUGAUAAAUCAACCGGUAUGUUCUCUCUCAGUACCUGCACUUUUUAUAUAGAAACUCACAUAUACCAGGAGGGCAAAGCUCUGUUAAUAAGAUAUAUUAUAUAUAUCUACAGCUACAAUUAUCCUUUUGUCGCUAUAUAUAUGUACUCUCUUGCAUAUGAUUUAUACUACCUCUCAUUAUAUGGUCUGAUUACCUAAGGAUACUGCUAUUCAGGGUAUUGUGCUGGUGGUUGUGCUGCAAUUGCAGAUUCUGGAACUUCCUUGUUGGCAGGUCCAACGGUAUGAGCAGUACUUCAGCUUGUUGGAUGUGUACUUGUUGAUAUCUUAUUCAGUACAAUUUGAUAGCUAACUGUUUAACUAUCCUAUUUUUUGCCAUUGGGUUGAAGUUAUGUUGAUUGCCUAGAACAGAAUGGAUGAAAAUGUAAAGCUAUUACUGUUUUUUACCCUGUUGGUUUGUAGAUUUAAAGAUGAGUUCAUUCUCUAGUGUUUUCUUGCCCCUGCUCUGGAUAUAACUUCUGAUAUGGAUUCUGACUUUGAAUUGUUCUUUCAUAUGGUGGCUUUUAAUGUGAUUUUUUUGUAAUUUUUUUAAUGUACCUAGAAUAUCUUGACAAUGUUCAUUUUUGUCAUUUGACCUAGCAGUCUAAUAGGCAUCUAAGACUCUAAAGUUGGGGCAUAGACUUUGAAAAUAAUAAAUUUUGAUACAAAGCAUUUAUAGGAAAAAUGAGAAUCUUCUAUGAUGGAGGUCCAUGAUUCUGUUGUCAAUUUUCUUGUGCAUAAAAUAUUUCGGUGGUCUCUGCUAUUUUUUUCAGGCUAUAAUUACCAUGAUAAAUCAUGCCAUUGGAGCCUCUGGAGUGGUUAGCCAGCAAUGCAAGGCUGUAGUUUCGCAGUAUGGGGAAGUCAUUAUGGAUUUGCUACUGUCCGAGGUGAUAAUGGCCUUACUUGUAUUUCAGAUGUUUGAUUUCUGAAACCCUGGCUGAUAAAAAUCUUAUGUGAGAAAAUGGGUGUAGUCAGCAUCUAUUUAUGGAUAUGUUUGUGUUCCUUCCUAUGUAUUUACAGGUACAGCCAAAGAAGAUAUGCUCUCAAAUUGGACUCUGCACAUUUGAUGGAACCCGUGGCAUAAGGUUGGGCUCUAAAGAUGUUCUCUUCUUAUGCUUAUGCUUUCACAGUUUUACUGGGAGGCAUAACUUUUUCUCCUGGAUAAUACCCCCUUCUACUGCUAAUUUUUUUUUAAUAAGUAGAAGAAAAUUCAUGAAAGUAAACCCAAUUUCAUGGAAGCGAAUUGUUGCCUCCAUGCAUGUUGCUGCUUUUGUUACUAGAAAGGUUUACUGUGUGUUGUGAAUAGGCAGUUAACUUAGAGGUUUGUGAUUUUGCUUAGCAUGGGCAUUCAGAGUGUGGUGGACAAGGGCAUUGACAAGUCAUCUGGUGUUCUUGGUGAUGCUACGUGCUCUGCUUGUGAAAUGGCAGUUUUCUGGAUGCGAAGCCAGCUUCAGCAGAACCAGACACAAGAUCGUGUAUUGGACUAUGCCAAUCAGGUGAAUUAAAUGAAUUUGUACUUUAUCUAUUAACCACUGCAAAAAAUUAUUGAACUUCAUCAAUCAGUGUGAUACAUGCAUUGUUCCCUAAUAAUUGUUUGGGCCUUGUGGAUGUGCUUCUCUUGCUGAUACCUGUGAUAAUUUCACAGCUCUGUGAACGUGUUCCAAACCCGACAGGACAAUCAGCUGUUGACUGUGGAAGUGUUCUUUCAAUGCCUACAAUUGCCUUCACCAUUGGAGGCAAAGAGUUUGAGCUUGCCCCAGAGGAGGUAUGUCAGCUGAACCCAGUAUUACCGUUCAUGCUAUCAAGGGAUGUUUCCCUUUUUUUUCCUAUUUCCUUGAAAUUAUGCAUUUUUAACUGAUUUUGAAAUACACAAGUUGGUGAAAUGCAACCAUCUAUUAUCUAUUCAUCUUAAUAAUGAGGUAUCACUGAUUGCAAAAUUGUGAUGUUUUGAUUCAUUGUUGCGAACAUUCUUCUAAGGAUUGCCACUUGUGCUAGGAUGAUAGUCUUUAUGGACAUUUUAACAGGACUGUAUUAAUGUAAUUAUAUUUGGAUGGAUAUCUAUAGUAUAUAAGUUUAUAUUUAGUAGUAACGGCUUAUUGUCCAACAAAGGCCUCAGGUAGAAUUUGGAUACAGCCCACCUUUCCUCCAUAGGAGCAUGAAGUGCUCCUAUUGAAUAUGCAACACAACUUACUAUUACAUGAAUCAAUGCCCCUCAAAUGUGCUAAAUAUAUCAAACGUGUAUAUUAAUUCGUAGAACUGAUGCCUCUUUCCUGCUUCAUGAUCAGUACAUUCUCAAGGUUGGCCAAGGUUCAGCAGCCCAGUGCAUCAGUGGCUUUACUGCUUUGGAUAUACCUCCUCCUCGUGGACCUCUUUGGUAUAUUAUUUUCUUAUCUAACCUUAAGGAUUCUAGAACUAGUUUUGCUUGCUUUAUUACCUAUCCAUGCUCAUAGAUUGUCAUAAUGUUCCUUUAAAUCUCACUUAUUGAUCUUUCACAAUCCAGGAUACUGGGAGAUGUUUUCAUGGGACGCUACCAUACUGUCUUUGAUUCUGGAAAGCUUAGAGUUGGAUUUGCCGAGGCAGCGUAAAGGAUUUGUCUUUGGGGUUCUUGUCUCACAUCCUUCCCCUUUAUCAACUAAUAUGUAAUGUAGGGAGUCACUGGCGAAUAUGAAAGUGCUGGCCGCAGCUUUAAAUAAGUAGUUUUUCUUGUAGAUAUUCGCUUCCUUCCUUCCUUCUUUCAGUUUAGUAGCAGAGAUUGAUGCAGUAGAAAGUGACAUGAAGUGAAUGUGGGUUUGAGUUCCGUAUGCCUUCCACCCCACCCCCCAAAUCCAUGCAGUUAUCUGAACUCUUGUCCAGGUUAUUUCAUAAUCUAUCCUAAGCAUACAGGGCAAGGAAUAAAUGGCCUUACACAGCGAGGUUAAAUUUAAAUCGAUAUAUUUCCAGCAGGCUCAUGUUAAUGACUAAUCCUUUUCUGGCAUAAUUAUAAUAUCUUAGAUUUACAGGUCCAUUGAUUCGGAAAGUUUUACUCUGUUCAGGUUUAGGUUGGUAUCAGACUGUGGCUUCCAGUCUUCGUUCUAAUAAUCUUUCUAGUUUUUCAUCACGAGGGCAAUUGUUUCUAUUUUUUAUUUUAUUCUUGUUUUCCUAGUUUCACCAGAGAUGUUAAAAGGCAUAAAGCAUGAAUAUAGCUUUGUGGGGGCGUGGAAAGUGAGUCUAGUUUAUGGGAAAUGCCACUCCAUUACUGAUAAUAGCUCCACUCAAUAAUGGCAUUGCAAGAACUUAAAAUGGAACAAUCCACUUGAGAGCUGUCACAACCAUCUGCAUUACAUGUUGAUUCGGUAUUAAGAAAGGGUUUGGUUUAUGUUCAAUUUGCCUGUGUUUGGUGAAUAGUUGUCGGACCAUGUCUAGGCUAGACCGAUUUGAAAAAGGGUUUGGGUUAAUGGGUUAUUACGGGUUAUUCAUUUAAGCUUGACUGGGUUAAUAUCAAUUUUGGUUGAGCUUCGAGUUAUGAGUUUUCCAGGUCAAAUAACGGGCUGGAUUUGAUUUAAUAACUAUGAAUUUGGUUCAAUAACUAUGGUUUGGUGUGGAGACAGCAUGUUUUUGGUGUGUAUAGAACUAUCAGCUGGAUUCUUGUCCUAUGUCCGAUCUCUUCCACCAUCAAGAUUCGAGUCUUGCUCGCUAAACAUGUCACAAGAAUUUCCAUGUAUUCGAGUGUUGUUUGCUCACCAAACACGUCUCAUGAACUUCUAUAUAGAACAGGGAUGAGCUCGCGUGUCCUUCAAUGCUCUUCCUGGCUUGCCGCUCCCAAUCAAGCAAAUCAUGCCACGUUUCAUUUAAACAUAUUGUCUGGUCACCAAACCACUCAGUGUCCGCACGCGUGCUGCCUCCCCAACUGCCAGUUCUGAUGGUCCUUUUCUUGGUGGUUAAGCACGAAAGAAGUUGGCAGGUGAGGGUGAAAGUGAGGUAAAAAGACAAGACAGGCAUGCAAAAUAUGUUUCUUAACAGUAGAAAGCACUUCGUGUAGUUAUCGGACAGUCCAAGAACGAAGACUAAGAUCACUCUGUCAAAGAAACCACACUCCCUUGCUAUGGUCAAUUAUUGGUAGAAUCUUUUUUUGUUUUUUGUUUUUUUGAUGAUGCAUGUUUAGUUUAAUGAUCAAAGGUAAUUGCUCUACCAGAUCUGGACAAAUACAUGUAUAUUCAAUUCCUCGGUCAAUGGUUGCUAUGGCUAAAAGGCAAUGGCACAACCCAACAACGGACAACAGGCAUUGAUGUAACUCUUGAUUUUUGUAAUGAAAAACCUGAAAGCAUAAAAAAUGUCAUCCACUCCUGGAAGGGCAGGUACGUAGCAACAUGGUAGGUGAAUGUCGCCAUGGUUUUCAGUACCUUACAGCACGUUUUCUGAAUUUGAUUAAUUUAAUUUAUAAAAGUAAAUUAAAUUCGAGUUAACCCAUCUUAUCUUCUCCGGUGAUUGUUGAGGCCUGCGAUACCUUCAUGUCAUAAUACACAGAAUAUAUCUAAACAGCUCAGACAAUUAGCUUUUUGUUUCAUCUCCUAGCAAGAAUUUUAUUCUUUUGCUAGCUUUUUCUCACCUUUUUUCCCCCCCGCCAAAAAGCAUGGAAUGAUACCAAGACAGCCGCCGGCUGUCCUUGUCAGCACAUAGAAAUUGCACCUGUGAUCUUUGCUAUUACCGGUGGUUGCUCUCUCGACAACUAUCACUCUGGCGCCAGCCAGCCCCUCUUAAUCCCCUCUAGUUUUUUUCUGUUAUAAUCUUGUAAUAUACGCCUCAUCCAUUUCUUUUCCAAUAAAAAUACUUGUGAUAGUAACAAGUAUUAGAGAUACAUUAAAUUAAUCAUAUCGAUAAGAUAUAUCAUCAAUACUAGUUAAACUAUUAGAUUUAAACUCGUCGAGUUUCUUUUCAAAAUCUAAUUCAAUUCAAGAUUUUAAUAAUAUCAACUCACCCUCACCAUUAAUCUAGGAAAUAAAUCCUAGUAAGAGUUUAUACAUUUAUGCAUAAAAUGCAUAUGAUGGGUGAAAAUCACACGAAAAUGUUUUCCUUGCAUGUGAAGGAAAGCAAUCAAAAUCUAACUUUGUGAGUUGCAAGUAUGAAUGGCAUCAUCCUGAACAGCUACAACAUCUCUUCAAGAGGCUCGAAUGUAUCCUUGCUGUGUAAGGAUCUUUCACUCCACUUUAUGAAACUUUAAUUUACAGUACCCAUUAUCCAUUCAUCAGAGCUAAUUAAAAUGAAGAGUUUGAUCUUUACUUUGAGAAGAACACGUACGUUACACACAUGCACAGACAACUCAUGGGUCCCAAACCCUUUACCGAAAGCCAAAGUAUAAGAGCUGAAAGGGAGAGAUAUAGUGAAGCCAAGGGAUUGGUGGUUGGCACAUGAAGAAAGCAACUUAAUUGUUUGUGUUCCUUGGAAGGAACGUAUGAUGGAUACCAUAAGAGUGCACAAAGCAAGGACUCGUCCUCCUAAAAGUGAUCCCAUAAAGAGAAAAUAUCAUAGCCAAUCAACAGUUUAUAUAUAUUAAAAAGAUUUUAAUUUUGAGGAAUAUAGUUUAAUUGGUCAUGUUUUGAGUUUGUUUUUCAGAUAUCACCAGUUCGAGUGACACAAACCUCUCAAAGUUACUGGAGACUUACCUGAUCGUUAAUUUCAGAGUCUUGAAAAAUUAAUCGAGAUGCGCGUAAAUUAACCCGAAUACCUACAAUUACUAAAAAAAAUAAAAAACUAAAAAGAAAAGAAAAAGACCCCGUCAAGAGCAAAUACCAUAACCAGCUAAUCAAUAAUUAAUAAAUUGUUCUAAUAUGUUCAUAUAUACUAAGAGAAAAUUAGGGUUUGAGAGAAUACAAAUAUAAUUAAUUUGUGUGAUUUUUGGUAUGGUCCGGAAUUCAAUUUGAAUACUACAAAAAAUUCUUAAUCUAACCAUAAUGUUUUCUCAAUCUUAUUCAAAUUAUAGUGAUCAAAACCAUUUUUUUUGUUAAAAAAAAAAACUUCACAUUUUAAUAUGAGAAACAUCCAUUAAACUCAAAUCAAUACCAUUAUCAUCGAGAAUCAUUAAUUUUCAACAGCAACAAUUUUGAUCCAAUAACAGCUCCCUUCCAUGCUCACUAUCUUUGCUCAUAAAUGAUUGCUAGCUGGAAGAAUAUUCCUUGACCAAAUUAAUUAGCAUUGGAUCCAUGAACGUGGAGAGAGUCAUUGCAAAAUAAAACCCUAAUUAUAUUGACUUUUACUGCAAAUUAAUUAUGACACUCCAACUUAUAAUUAAUAUUUAUCUCGCUAGGUUCAAGGUAUCAAUAACAUGACAUUAUUGGGGGUUUACCUUCUCAUUGUCUAUUACCACUAGCUAGAGAGGCUUCAAUUUCAAAUUAGUCAAUAAUUAACAAUGGAGAUUAAGCUUAAAUCCACUGAUCUAUCCAACCACCUCUUAUCGACCAAUCAACCUCUCUAAAGAAUAGAAUAUCCCGUGCAUUUGUGCCAUAUCCAUUGUAUGAUCCCACACUCUUUCACAUAGAUGAAAUUACCACAAAUCAUGCACGUUCUCACGUGGUGUCUCGUGAACAAAGCAUAAUGCGUAGCUAAGCUAAGCUAAGCACAGCGUCAGGAUUAAGCAAUUGGCGUUCAAAAGCCGGCCAAAGCUUGCCACCCACCCGCUUCUCGACACGUGGAAGCGUCUUGUUUAGAGAGAGAGAGAUACGGCGGCCGCCCAUUGGCCACAAAAUAAAUAUGCUAAAAUAAAGUUUAAUGAAGAAAGCAAUGUUUCUUGCAUUAAAGCCAAACGUACAAACCAAACGCAUAAACUAAUGUUUGCAUAUGUGCUGUGUGUGUGUGUAUAUAUAUAUAGAAUAUAACUACCAAUGCAAACAAUUCAGCGAGCAUAAUACACAUUCUUUAAAUCUUGUCACACCCCCCACCUUUCUCUCCAAAAUGAACUGGACUAGAGGCCAAAUCAUUGGCCAUGGCUCCUCGGCCACCGUCUCGAUGGCCAAGGCCAACCGGUCCGGUCAAGUCUUUGCGGUUAAGUCAGCUGAGCUAUUGAAGUCAGAGUCUCUUCAAAGAGAGCAAGGUAUUCUUUCAACAUUGAAGUGUCCACAAAUUGUGGUGUACAAGGGGUGUGACAUUACCAACGAGAAUGGUAAGUUGUUCUAUAAUCUUUUCUUGGAGUACAUAUCCGGUGGCACGCUUAUCGAUGCAAUUCGGGAGGGUGGAGGCUGUCUCGAAGAGGCUAUGAUCAGAUUGUAUGCCCGGACGAUUUUGCUUGGCCUUGAGUACCUUCAUUGUAAUGGUAUAGUGCAUUGUGACAUCAAGAGUCAUAAUAUUUUGGUCACCGGUGAUGGAGCAAAAAUUGCUGACUUGGGUUGUGCCAAGCGCGUUGAUGAGUUGUCGGGGGAUAUUGAUUUGAAAACGACAGCGCCAAUUGCAGGCACUCCGCUUUACAUGGCACCUGAGGUGGCGCGUGGGGAGCACCAAGGGUUCCCUGCUGAUAUCUGGUCUGUCGGGUGCACCGUCGUUGAGAUGGCUACCGGACAAGCUCCAUGGGUGAAUGUCUCAGACCCAGUUUCAGCCCUUUACCAAAUUGGAUUUUCAGGUAACGUACCAGAGAUUCCAAGCUUCAUGUCUAAGCAAGCCAAGGACUUUUUGAGCAAGUGCCUGAAGAUGGACCCAGGAGAAAGGUGGUCAGCCAGUGAACUGCUUAAACAUGAUUUCAUUACCGAGGAGCCAAACUCUGCUUUGAAGGAGAUUACUAGCAGCACAAAUGUGGACACUCCAACAUGUGUACUGGAUCAAGUCUUAUGGGACUCGAUAGAGGAGUUAGAGACAACUUGGGAUUUGUCCCAUGAAAGCCCUUCGGUCUCUCCAGUUGAAAGAAUCAAGCAAUUGACUGAAGGCAACGGAGAAGUGCCCAAUUGGUCAUGGGAUGAUACUUGGAUCACAGUAAGAAGCAACGAACAAGAAAUGGUUCCCUGUGGUGAGGAUUAUAGCUUAGCAUAUGCCAAUGGCCACAUCGGCCAUAGUAGGGCAGAGAUAGCUUGGGCUAGCGUGGAAUAUGACUCUGUCUUUUUUCUUGAUGAACUCACGUAUAUUAGUGGGAAUAACACUAGCAGUAGUGGCAGUUGUGGCGAUGGUAGCAGGCAUAAAAUAUUAUUGAUGCCUUGUGAAUGUAGAGAAGGUUCUUUAUGUGGCAGUUCAAUUUUUUUGAAGGAAAUAAACUUCGGUUUUCUACAUGGAACUGCUUGCACAUGGUUGUUUAAAAAUACAUAUUUCCUCAUAAAUCACAGUUGUUAAAUUAUUAUACCAAUAACAAAAAAAAAAUUAAAUAAUGUUGAUGUAAUGAAAAGGACAUUGACAUAGGCUAUUUCCAACUAAGAACUUAUUUAACCAAGUCCGAGUGAAUUGAAAUAGUUAAAUUGAUUAUACCAUUAAUUAUUGUAAAUUGAUUAGUGAUUAUUAUUGUAAAUUUUAAGCUAUCUCUUUCCCAUAAGCAAAUUGGAACACCAUUGACAUUUGUCACAGCCCACCAUGAAAAGCUAGCUAAUUAGCCCUUUUCAAUGCAUUAAUUCUCUUGUUUUUUCCCAGCUAUGAAGCUUCAUUUCCAAUUAGUACAGCGGUGUCAACACAGUUUUGUUAAAUUUUGAAUGUUUUUACUGUAAAUUAUUAAAAUAAAAUUUAAAAAGUAAAAAAAUAUUAUUUUAAUAUAUUUUUAAAUAAAAAUAUUUUAAAAAACAAUAUAAACAAUGAAGUUAUUUUUAGGUGUGUAGCACUUGGGAAUCAUAUUAAUUGACCAGUACCCUUGGAUGUCCAUCAUUCGAACAAAUAAAAUGCAUUGCUUGUAGAAGUCAUGCACCUUAUUGCCUGCCUAGUGAGAAUGACAAUGGCAAGUCAUUGAUUGAUUCUGUUCUUGAUUCCUAACUUUCCCUGCCUUAUUAUGCUCAUUUUGUUGAUGAUUUUGGUAAUGCGGUUUAAUUUGUUUUUUUUUUUAAAAUGCUUCUCAAAUUGAGGCCUGUAUUCUUCUUGUUCUUUGCUGCACCAAGCAUGGCAAGUUCAGCUAGAACUCCAUUUCUGGAGCUCUUUUUUUUUUAUCAAACCAUUUCUGGAGCUCUUGAUACUGCAUCAAAGAUGCUGUCCUUUCUCUCUGUGUUCCAAUUCAUGCCUCUGGUAAGCUACGUUCAAAACUAGGGCUGUGGCAAUACCAUAUUUGUUCUGUGCGAUGAAAAGUUUGCUUCAUAUCUAAUUAAUGAUUCUCUAUCUAAUUAAUCAAUUCUUAAAUCAUUGAGAAAAUUCAAGGUUGCGUUACACUCCUGGCAUCCGUUUCUGCUGAAUAUGCAAAGGAGGUUAAAGGUCCUAUAGCAUCAGCACAGAUGCUUGUUUUAUCUGCACUAUCGGUUCCAAUCUUCCUUGGAUUGAUGGUACUCGCCGUAAUCAACACUGAUAGGGAUCUCCGUGAAAACGAUCCUGCGCUCCAUUGUAAAUACUGAUAAUUUUUCCAGUAUUUCAAAAACAAUAACUGCAGGUUAAAUUAAUCACAGUUAAUUGUAAACACAAAUCAUAAUUACAGAUCAAAGUUCGAGUCUCACUUUUGUCAAUUCAUCACUGGCCUCAAAAAAGUUAGCCCGAUUCACCAGGACAAAUAUUCAGAAACAAGAGAAUAUCAGCAGUAUUUGUUCUCUUUAACAAAAAUCCAUGUUGGGGAAAAAACAUACCAGAAUUUCUGCUGACAAAAUACAUCCCUUCUUUUUCAGCGUCAAGCUCUACAUUUGAAUUGAACUUGACACAAAAUGAGAACCUAUUUUUACACUCCUUUUCUCUGCUUUUCAAUUUGUCGUUUUCUCCACACUUACAGGCUUGCAACAAUGCAUGGAUGGCAAUUAAACCCUAACUAUGAAACCCAUCAAGAAAAUCCCCAGUAAUAGUAUGAGAAACAAAAAAAAAGAAACUGAGGAUAAAAAGGUUAUUUGACAAGUGGGGCUCAGUUCUUCAAGUAUUCUUCUUGCUAGUUGAACGUGAAAAUCUCAAGUCCAGAGAUUGCAACUGGCUCCUUAGGUUCUGGUUCUCUUCAAGCAAACGAUCAUACUCAAGAAGGAACCCUUCAGAUUGCUUACUUAGAGCAACUGCAUUGGCUUCUGAUGUAUUUACCUCUUUUGUCUUGAUUUCCAAUUCAGAUUCCAGCUGCUUAAGUUUUUCUCGCAGCGUGGAUGCCUCUGCUUCUAAUGCUUUGGUCUCCUCAACCUUCCCAUCCUCAAAACUUCGAUUUUGUUUCUUUACAUCCUCCAUGGUCUUCCUCCUCACACGGAGUUCUCUAAUAUAAUGGUGCAGUCGGUCUAUCAUUAGUCCAAGAAAAAGGACAGAACCUGCACAAAGUUAUCUCAAGUUUAUACAAAUUGAAGUGCAAAAAAGGUCUCUAGAAACAAGGAAUUCUCAAAAGUAAAUUGCCUAGUCUAGAAGAUGCAAUAUUUCAAAGUACUCUUGCAUAUAUAUGAUUCAGGAUGUUCUAAGUUUGACAUCUCAAGGGAACCAUAGGUCUGCAGGGCAUGACACAUGCAUAGAAAGGUACGAUAUCAUUGCUUCACUAUCUAGAAGUACUAUAAUGAGAAACAAAUCACCAUGUAUUGCUCUUUAUUUAAAGUUUCCUAGUCACGGCAUUCUUCUUCUUCUUCUUCUUUUUGUAAAGGAAAAGCACAUUUGUUCCACCUUAUGGCAUUACUAUAGCAUCAAGGCAGAGUUCAAUCAUCUAUAACUGGAAAAGGCAGAGGAACAUGUGAAGACAUCAAGGCCAUUCAAGAUGAUUUCCCUCCAUCAACUGUCUUUAAGAGCUUGAUCACAGCAAUAAAGAAAGAAUCACUAAAUUGAAAGGCAUCGAUGCCAUUCAAAAUGAUUUUCCUCCAUCACAUAAGUGUCACAUGCUGUCUUUAAGAGCUUGAUCACAACAAUAAAGAAAGAAUCACUUAAUGGACACUCUCCUAAAAUCAUGAGCAAAGAGGUCCAAAUCCAAAGUCCUCCCUUGAUCUAACAGGGAAAAAAAUCACCAUGUAUUGCUCUUUAUUUAAAGUUUACUAGUCACGGCAUUCUUUUCUCUUUUUUUCUGGUAAAGGAAAAGCACAUUUUCCACCUUAUGGCAUUACUAUAGCAUCAAGGCAGAGUUCAACCAUCUAUAACUUGAAAAAGCAGAGGAACACGUGAAGACAUCGCUGCCAUUCAAAAUGAUUUUCCUCAUCAAAUAAGUGUCACAUGCUGUCUUUAAGAGCUUGAUCACAGCAGUAAAGAAAGAAUCACUUAAUGGAAAGACAUCAAUGCCAUUCAAAAUGAUUUUCCUCCAUCAAAUGAGUGUCACAUGCUGUCUUUUAGAGACUGACCACAACAAUAAAGAAAGAAUCACUCAAUGGACACUCUCCUAAAAUCAUGAGCAAAGAGGUCCAAAUCCAAAGUCCUCCCUUGAUCUAACAAGGAAAAACAAUAUUUGGACUCCAUUUGCUAAAGGUAAAUCAAAAUUCAGACAUUGGAGUUAUGCAACUCAAGAUAUUCGUUUCUUCCUCGGCACUAAUUGCUUGAUGGUUUAUCUUCCAUAAUGAUGGAGGAUACAAUGCUAUCUUUCUAAAUUAUAAAAAACCUAGCAAAUAAUAAAGAGGGUCGAAUCAAAUGCCUCAUUCAUCACAUCAAUCAACACGCAGGAUUUGAAGCAAAAAAAAAAAACCUCAAUUUCACAAUCAAAAUUCAAGAACAAAUCUCUAAUUUAGGUACAUUCUUCAGCAUUAUAUCAUUCUUCAGCGUUACAUCAUUCUUCAGCGCUAACAAUGGAUCUAAGAUAUCUCCAAUCCAAAAUGAAAUAGCAAUUUUUCCCAUCAAAUUAUGAGUAAAACAGAUAAAUUAUCAGCCCCACCAAACCAAUCACAAACAUAUCAACGAAAUCAAAUCAUCAGCACACAAUCCAAUCACAUUACAUUAACCCCACAAAGCUGAAAACUUUAACAAAACAUAAAACCAAAAUUAACUCAAGAAACCAAGAAUUGUUACCCAUAAGAGUAGCCUCCAGCAGAUGUUUACCCAGAAGAACCUGGUCUGUAGGAUUAACAGCACCACCAUCAUCGAUCCAACGUUUCUGGAUCUUCACCAUACUAUAAACACUUGACAUUAAAACCACAAACACUGUCCCUGCAACUGUCUUAACCAUGACUGGUCCCCGCCCUCUCUUGACUCGAUCCAAGCUCAUUAUCAACAACUUCCUUAAUGGAGUCUUGAAAACAAAUAACAAUAUCAUUGCCAUCUCUGAAAAUAUCACUGUAAACAAAAGCUGAAUCAUUUUUUAGAGUUCUUUUCUAGCAAAGGUUGAGUCUUUUGUGUUAAAUUUUGAAAAGAUUGAAUAUUUGGGUGUCCAGGGUCAAAUUUUUUUUUGGUUUGAGGUAUUUAUAGCAAUGAAGAUGAUGAUCAAAGGAAGGUUACAGAGAUCACGUAAAAGAAGAGGUUUUUAUUGAAUGGAAUGGAGAAAGAGAUGGUGGGUUUUCUAUUUCUUAGUAUUAAUGAGAAUAAUUUUGAAGUCUCCUUAGAAAUGUCUUUUCCCUUUUUGAUAUGUAAAGGUAGAAAUUUAUAUAGUCCUUGUAUCUUUUACAUUUAGUCAAAUUAAUCCUUUACUCUGAAUCGAGACAAAUAAAUCCUUCCAAUAUGAGAGUGUUUCAUUUUAGGGCUUGUACUUCUUAUUAUUAGAUUUAAGGUAUAAUAUUUCUAUGAUGAAAACAUUACGCAAAUAUCACAAGUAAAAAUAUAAAUUCAAGCCAUUAACACUUCAUAGUAAGGUCUUUUGAAUAAUAUUUAGUUAAAUCAACUUUUUUUUAGAUCAAAUUAAAUUAUUUAUUUUUAUUUAUCAAUAAUAAAAAUUCUCAAUAUAAAUCUACAUGCACAAUAUUUGCACAUUAAUGGCUAAAUGCUUUGAUAUACCUUUAUAUAUGCUUUGAUUCAAGCUCUAGUUCAAUUCUGAUAGAUGGGCAUUAAUAGAUCAAUUUAAUAUAAAUUGUAAACUUAAAGUAAGAGGAUCAAAUUGUCCAAAAUAUUUUAGAUAUGUGAUUUGACCAAAAUGUAAUUACAUGUUUUUUACUCAUAAGAAUUCCCCGUUGGAACAUGAAAAAACGAUUUGUCCUUUUUCCUUCACUAGAAUGGUUUCCUUCCUUUUAUUUUUUGCACCCCACUAUACUUCUUCAACGUUUCUUGCAUUUAACUUGUAAUCUAAGAAUUCAUUUUUUUUAGUGGGCAAAUUAAAUAUUUUUUUAGAGAACUGUUUGAUAUUUGUUUUCAAACUUAGUCUAGUAUAUUAGUUUUAAAAUCUUCGAACUCAACUUAUUAUCUUGAUUGAUUUAAAAUUAAAUUAUAUAAAAAUUAUAAUAAUAUAACCUAAUUAAUUUAAUAGGUCUUAAAAUAACUGGAAAGAUCAAUAAAAAAAAUAAUUUAAAAUAUCUAAGUUUAAAAAUUUUAUUUUUUAAAAUUAUUUUUUAUUUAAUUAUAAAAAUAAAUGUUUAUAAGACUAUGCUCAAAUUAAAUGUUAUAGUGUUUAUUUAAAAUUAUGAUAAUUUUAUAGAAAAUAAAUUGAAUUGUUAAAAUAAAUUUAAAAUUAAAUAAAUAUUAAAUGAUAAAAUUUUAAAAAAUAUAAAUAUAAAAAAAUAAAAAGCUAAAAAGGGAAGGCAACGCAAGAAAAAGGAACCACUUCCUUCACCGUGAAGGAAUUGAGUUGGCACCCCAACUCUUUUUUAUGUAGAAAGUAAUGUUUAUGUAUUUAGAAGAAGGAAAAAUGAUAUACAAAUCGUAAGAUUUUGUGGGGCUUUUAUUGAUGAAUUCAUGAAAUACCUACGAUCGAACUUAUUAUAAUUUAUUUAUUAACAAAGCUUCAACCAAAUCGAUCCCUUGUAUGCUAAAAUUAGUUGAUGUUGCUGCUGAUAGUGAUCAAUACCGGAACUCCAUUUCUGUCUCAAGAAUACUUUUCAAUUUUGUUUUCAAGUGUUAGAAAAAGAAAGAGGGAAAGUGAAAGUUAACAGAGACAUGCAUCUACCAUUGUGCCUAAAAUCAAAGAUAUAAGACAAGCAAAAACAACGAGCCAUUGAAGUAGCCUAGUUGUUCUGGCUUUCAUUUUUUUUUUUUAAGAAUGUUUUAUAGCUUCUAAUUUCGAGUUAUUAAGGAAAGAAAUGAAUACAUCAAGAAGUUGGCUUAAAAAAAAAAAUAAAAAAAAUUGAACCUUUCCAGUAGUUAUUUUUCGGGACUUUGCUGAGUAAAGUGCAGCGUAUAAAGACAAAAGAAGAUAAAAAAGAACUAUGUGAAUCUAUAUAAAUUUUAAGUUCAAAAAAUGAGAUAAUAUAUUAUAAAAUUUAUAUAAAUUAUGUUGUAGUUUUAUAUAAUAAUUUAAAUUAUUUUAAAAAAUUAUAUAAAUUAUAUUUUGUAGCUUCAUCUAAUAAUUUAAAUUAUUGAAUUAUUUAGCAGUUUUAUGUGUCACGGGGUAUAUAUAAUUUAUUAAGAUUUUGAAGUCAUUCUUUAUAAUUUAAACAUAAAAUAAUUGGACAAUAUCUUUAAAUUGAAUACAAAAUAAAUAACCAAAAAACAAAAUGGAGCACAUCCAUUCAUGAACCAAUACCCAUUAAUUAGUUUAUUUAUUGCCGCAUAGAUCCGUAGUUUGAGUAUGAUUUUUAUUUUAUUUUUAUGUAGCCAUGGUAAAACAAAUAUACAAGUCAUAUUUUUCAAUACCAAACUUAUUUUGGAAAACGCAAAACUCAUGAGUUACACAUAUUAUUAUGAGACUAAUAAACUAAAAUUCUAUAUCUGAAUAAAGGAAUCGAGUAUUUAGUUUUUUUUUUUAAAUGAUGAUAACAGGCAUCAAGAACAAAAAUAAAAAUAAAAAUAUUAAUAGAUUGGAGGAAAUUAUAAUGCUAAUUAUUAUGUGCUUAAGAAAACUAGGUGAUAUUCUAUUAUCUCAAUUUACUGGAUGAUGUUUUGUUAAUUAAUUAUGUGAUAUUUGCAUAUUUAAUUCUUGGGAACUAUUGAAUUUUUAAAAUAAUAAUUCCAUUAUGUAUUGAAAAUUAUAUUUUAUAACACAUGUGUAAGCGUUCAACAUCAGGGAGAAUUUAUAGUUCUUAAAAGAUUAGAGGUUUGCAAGAAUUUUGACAGUGUUAGAGUUAUAAUUAUGCACCAAUACAUACAUACAUACAUGUGUGUGUGUGUCUAUAUAUAUAUAUAUAUAUGCAGAUCUACUGGCAAGUCAAUGGAUCCGGUUAAAACCUAUUUAUUAUUUUUUAUAUAAAGUAAUAUUAUUUUAUUUUUAUUUUUAAAAUAACAUCAUUUAAUUAAUUCCAAUUAACCCACCUAACUUACCUAACUUGACUUAAACCAAGUCAUGCCCCGGCCAGGUCAAUACAACUUGGAGAAUAACAAUCCUUUAAAUCUCAUCAUAAUAUAAACACAGUACACACAGGCGUGCAAGCUGAUGCAGCAAAUUAUUAGAAAAGAGACUCAAAAAAUAAAAUAUAAGUAAAGUAAAAACACAUAGAGCAAUAGAAAACAUUUCCAACGAAAAUUUCAAUCAACAUUCAUCACACGUUACACGCAUAUAAAUAAGAACUGAUGUUGCUGAGUUUAUGGUUGCUGAAAACAAUGUGCUAACCAGAUAAUCUAUCCGUGCAAUUGGAAGCAUUAUUCAUCAAUGGUGACAUAUCAUCAAUGAUGACAUAUCGGUGAUUUCUGAUGUUCUCCUUCUGUUAGCCUUUGGUCAAUGCCAUGGACUUUGCUCGGAGAUUCAGAAAUAUUCCCCUGAAAAUGAAGGAAAAGAAGGCCGAUUUCAUUCUGCAAAAUCUAGUAAAGUAAAUUUAAAACAGAGAUGAGUAGGUUGGAGACGAAGAGAAUACCAGCCGACUGCGAUUAGGCUGUGGAAGAUGACACGGAAUUGCUGUGGAAUGUACUGGUGAUUUACCCACCCAACAACAGGCCAGAACUGCAUUUUUUUCAUUUAUCAAAGUUUUAUGACAAUUAAUAGAAUUGUUAUUUAAUGUACUGAACUGAUUUAACUGUAAUCAUAAAGGAGCAAUACCGUCCAUGAUGUGAACUGCACUGCCGGGUAUUCCUUCUUUAGUUUAGUUUUCACCUGCGACCAGGGUCUUCCUGCAUUUCAUGUUUCUUGUUAGAUGAUAAGCAUCAAUAAUGUUCUCUUUCAUGCAACAAACAAAUCAAUCAGCACAUCAUUUCCUAAUGUCUGUGUGAAAUUUUCUCAAACCGAGCCAACACAUGCUUCUUCCAAGCUACCUUCGUUUUAAAUUUCGACAGUUCUUUGACUUUAAAGUCAUGCAAAAGUACUUCAAAUUAAGAAAUGGAAGAAAUCUUACAUUGGGAUCAUAAUUGGGGAGUAGGUUGUGCAAGGAAUCAAUUUAUUUUUUAAUCCCUUUGUUUCUGCUAAAGAUUCUUUUCCAUGGAUCUAGACUUAUAACUUCACCGACGUAUUUUUUUUUAUGUCUUACCAGAUUUUAUGGAAGUGAAGCUUAGAAAAGCCAACCAUCAGAUAGGAUUGCAGCAUUGCUGAGUUAAGAAUCUUAAGAUGCAGAUACGGACUUACCAUCGAUAACCAUCCCAUAAUAAACCAUGAAAACCAAGUUGUUCCAAGGAGAAGCUGUCAACUGCUCCACUGCCACCUGAUAUAAUGAUUCGGCGUUUUAGAAUGGCUUUUAAUUUAAUAGGCUAGAAAAAUGUGUGUGAUUGAUUGAAUGAUCAUCAAUAUUUACGUAGGCAUCAGGUGUUGCAGUAAUAUAUAGAACGUAAUCAAGGUUGAACAAAUUUGAACACGACACUAGUUAUAUGAUCAAAAAGUUGUAAUUUAUAAUAGAAGAACUGGGAAUUUGGAAUUUUACAGGUGGAGUCACGAGUUAGUAUACCUUCUUGGCAACUGUUGUUGUAUCCUUCUUUCCCUUGAAAAGUUUAUCCAGUAGUAUAUGUAGGUAAUGCCCGAAUGGUCCAAGAUAUCCAAACCCAAAAAGCUGCAUUUAGCCACGUUAGGAUGAAUGAUUGUAAGAGAACAGGAAAGGUAGGACAGUAAAUACACAUAUUUUAAUUAACAUUUCAGAAGUUGACAUGCAUGCAACUUAGAAUAUCUACAACUUUUUAUAGCAUUUAAAGAUUCAAAUUAAUUUGCUGUAACUUAGGAUCACUAUUGUGUUUUGUCAUGGUCAAUUCAACUACGAUUGAAAUAUAGGUAGAUUUGAUCAUCUUUGUGCACAAAUGCUUGUCAUUUGCAUCUAAUGCCUGAUAUAUACCAGAAAGUGACCAAAGGUAGACCAGUGGUUAAAUAAGUUAAUUUAAUCCUGCCGAAUAGGAUCACAACACAAAAACCCUCAUUCAAAACUUUAUUGCUAAAUAUUCUCUCUUCAAGUAGUUUGCUGAAAUACAAGCUAAACAACUCGAUUUAUACUAAUUCUAGGUCUAUAUUGAAGCAGAAAAAAUCCUAACAAAAUAAUUAUAGAGUUACAAUAUAUUUGGUAUUCCUAAACUAAAUAGGAAAAAAUAAAAACACUGUAAAGAAAAAUAUUUUCCUACUAUUUCCUAUCAAUUAGAAUUCUGCUUACUCCAGAGUCCUAACGCAUAAAUUGCUAAGGAUUCUGGUUCUGCCGAUCAAUGAAGUUAAUGCAUUCUAUAAUAGAAAUCAAAAGGGAAAAAUAAACUGAAUGGUAUAAAACUCACACGGCUCAAUCAGUUUCAUUGGAAAACAAUUGAAGGUAAUGAUAUGAGAAAGAAACUAGCUUGUACCACUUUGAGCAAAAUCCUUUUAAUUUGAAGUUUCUGAAUGCCAGAGAGUUUCUGCGAUACUAUGUCACUGAGAGCUGACAGCACCCCUGCUGUAAUUGCCUGCAUCACACAAAUUUUCUUACAGCAUCAGAUCGCAUUACUAAUUCACAAAGGUUAACAAUUUAAUAAUUUAGAUCUCAAUUUUUCACUUCCAAACUCAAAACAAUUGCAAUUAUCAAGAGGGCAGUUGACCUCAAUUUCCCAUUUUUAAAAAAUUCAGAAAACUGCAAAGACCCAAACUUUCAUCACAUUCUUCCCUCAACCAAAGUAACCCAUAAAAAAUCAAGCCAAGAAAAAAGAAAAAACUAGAAAAGAUUCAAACUUUCAUCGAUUUCUUCCUCAAUCAAAGCAACCCAUCAAAACCAAAUCCAAAACAAACAAGAAUACACAUAAAAAACAGAGAGAUUGUUUUCAAAUACAGACCUUAGUUCUUAAGGGGUGUUGUUGAAGCUGUAACAUAUACUGUUGCAGUCCCUUCUUUGCUACUGACCCCAUUUUUGUUUUUCCUUUCUCCUCUCAGAUUGAGCAAGGAAGACUCAACUUUUUAUACUAGUAAUCACCCUCACCUAACUCCCUCUCGUCUCCUCUCUUGCUAACCUGACCAGCUGCUCGCUCUAAAAUAUAUAACAAGACAUAAAAAAGUGACAAGUGGUACUUAAGUUUUGGAGUCUCAGUUCUGUCUAUGAAAGCCAAUAGCAACAUGAGUUACAUGAGUUGACUAUAUUCACAACCAUAGUUAUUAGCAUAAGUACCUGUGGUGCCACGUUCGAGUCACAAAUUCAUUAUCAUAAUUUAUAAUUUGGUUCAAUAAUGUUUUUUUCAAGUCAAAAAAAUUAAAACAAGAUUUUAAUUAAAUUAAUUGAAUCAUACCAGAUCAAUAUCAAUUAUGGAUUGAAUUUUUUUUAUAGAUCAAAAGAUAAACCUAUCGUAUCAUGAUUGUGUACCGGACCUCAAAACAUGGGGAUGUUCAGUGUCCUUUGCUUUGGAAAUAGCUACCGUAUAGCAAAUUUUUUAGAUGGUCAAGAAAAUGAUUUGCUAACCCUUCUAUUUGUUUAUGGACACUAACUUGAAAAUGUAAAAUUAUUGUGAUUUGACUUUUCUUUUGAUAAACCAUAUGCCUGUCUCUUUACUAGCAUCUUGGUGUUAAAAUUUAAUUUUUGUGUUUUUUUUUUAAUAAAGGUAUCAAGUUGAUGAUUUCUAGAGAAUAAUAAAUAAUCAAGAAAAUAUUCUUUGAUGGAAUCAUAAUUUAAUUUGCGUACAACUUUGUAUGAAAAUGAUAGAUUAUUUGGUUUAGGAAAAAGGUCGUAGUUUUGGAAUUAUUUAAAGAAAUAAGCUAUCUACAUCAAAAUUAGGUAUCCAUAAUAAAGAAAAAUUUUAUUUAGUUUAAGGGUAAAAAUAUUUUAAUUUUUUUCUUUAACUCACCUAUAACUAAUUAAUUAUCUUAGCAUCAAACGGGAUAGCACUACUCUAAUGGCUAGCACAAAGCUAUAUGGAACUCGUCCAUGAGAAGAGUUCUUCCUAUACACACAAUAUCUAUUCUGACCAGUUAAAAUUAUAACAGUGGAGCUUCAUUUUAAUGACAAUUUAAUAUCAAGCUUUUAAUGACAAUUUAAGAUGGGUAUUAUUCGGUUUAGAGUUUAAAUCAAUUUAAAAUGGUUGGUCCAUCCAGUAAAUCUAUAUCAAUCCUAAAAUAAUAUUAUUUUAAAUAAAAAAAAUUAUUGGUGUUGACUUGAUUAAAUUUUUAUUAAUUUAAUCAACUUAACUAACCAAGUUAUAAAUUAACUUAUUAAAUUAUAGAGUUUGACUAGUUGUCGUCCAAAACAAUUAAAACAAAUCUAGCAUACUACUAACUUUGAAUAAAUAGGUUAAAGUUGAUAUACAAAUUCCCCAUAACAAAAAGUUUAUCAAAAUUUUAAUAAUUUUUAUUGUUCAGUUAGUUGGGCUUGAUUUAUAUGUUUAGGGUUUGUUAUGGAUUAUAUUUCUAGUUUUUUUUUUUUUUUAGCCCAAAUUUGUUAUGUUUGUAAAUGCUAUGUUUUUUUAUGUGGAGUUGUAUGACUUGACCUACAAGGCCCAGUACACUACCGGUGUACAAUGAGGAUUUCUCAAUGAUUGAAAAAAAUUAGAAAUAAAAAUGAAAAACUUCCUUUCUUUUCUUGAAAAAUAUAAAAAAAGAAAGUCAGAUAUUCAAAUCAUUCUUUUCUUGUAUAGAAUCAACUUUGGGUUUUCCAUUUUAAAGUGAGUUUUUCUCUUUACUUUGGCUGUCAAAUAUUUUGAUAUCUAAAUCUCUUUUUGAAUUUUGAUAAAUCAUUUAUAUAUAAAUUGGAGUACUUAAAAAAAUAUAUUUUAAUAUUUUUUUAAUUAAAUUUGAAUUCAAAACUUAAAACUUGAAAUCAUAAUUGUUAAAACUCAAUUAGGUUAAUCUAAUAAAUUUAUAUGGUUUAAAAUUUGAUUUAAAUCAAAUUAAAAUUUAAUGGAAUAUGAUUUAUCUAGUUAAGUUGAUCUGAUCAAUUUAUUGAACAUGUACAAUAUCUUUGGUGAUUAUUUUUUUAUUAAUUUUUUUUAAUUUUAUCUUUUUUUUAUAAUUCAAUAUUUGAUAAAAUUUAAAGAUUGAAAUUAGAGGCCAAUUUUUCAUAGAAUAAAAUUUAAUUUUUAGUGUUGAGAAAUUAAAAGAAAGAGAAAAACAUGGAUCCUUUUCAUAUUCAAGUAAAAAAGUUCACUUUCGUUAAAAAAUUCUCCAUUCACUCAUUUUUUAUCCCUGAAAUUUUGAUUCUAUAAUUUAUUUAUUUAACAUUCGUUGGCCAAAAUCUCUACAUAUUAUUUGCCGCUAUAAAUCGUAGUUUCUUUAUUUAUUUUUAAAUAAAAUGAACUAUGUGUCAUUCACUCUAUUGAGAACAAAAGCAUGGAAGGCCAUGUGCCAUGUGAGCAAACUUAACUAGUCAUCAAGGGCCAAGCGCGUGAUUUCUUUUUAUACAAUCUUCUUCUUUUUUUUUCAAAUCUUAAUUAAAAUUUAUUAUGAAUAAAAUUAUUCAACUUAUUCUUAAAAUAUUAUUUCAUAGAAUAAUAUUUUAUUUUGCCUUAAUUUUGUUUUCAAAUAAUAUUAAAAAAAAGUUUUUUAUUUUAUAAUAUUAACAAUAACUUCAUUAAUUAUUAUAUAUCAAUCUAAUAUGCUUCUUUUUUUUUUAGAAUCUGUAAUCCUGAACAUUCAGUAAAGAUAAAAAUUAUAUUUUAUUAUAAUAUUUUUAGAAGAUUUUCAAAAAUUUCUUAUUUUCCUUUUCAAUUGCAUAUAAUAUAUCAAGACAUUAUUUUUAAUAUUUUUUUUAUAUUAAAAUGUUUUUUCAGAUAAGUUUUUUUUUCGUUAAAAAAGUGCAUUAAUAAUGAAAUGUAGUUUAUAUUGAAGAUUUACAUUUUUCUUACUAAUUUUAAAUUAAUUACUCAAAAUUUUACAAAAAAAAGUUAUUUUGAUUGCUUUUACUUUUAAUUAAAAAACCAUUAUAUUAAUCAAAAAGUAUUUUUGUAAAAAACAAUGCAUGAGCAAGAAAACGAAUAUUUUGUUUAACAAAAAAUACAUUUUUAAAAUUAAAAUCAUAAUCUUUUGUAGAAAUAGUUUUUAUAAUGGUAAGAAAAUAAAAAUAAAAUUUGAAAAUUAUCUCGUGGUGACAAGACACGAAUAAAUAACAAAGCAUCAUCUAAGUUAAACAGUUAAUUUUCAAUUUUUUCUAUUGAGUAACCCAAGUACUAUUCCUUUAUUUCCCUUAUUCCUAAUUUUAUACUAAUCCCAGUUAAUUAACAAGUUAAUGAUGAACGAGGGUAUUUGAAAGUGUAGUAACAGUUGCUUUUCAAAUAGUUUUUUGUAUCGAAAAACAUGCUAAUAAUAUUUUUUUAUUUUUUAAAAAUUAUUUUUGAUAUCAGCACAUCAAAACGAUCUAAAAUAUAUAAACCGCACUCAAUUUUAGUAAAAAAAAAAAUUUGAAAAUUUUCAAAAAACAGGCUGAAGUUCAAUGCCAAACAACCUCUUAAAUCAAAUCAAGGAGAAGCCAUUACCCAAUUAAAAAAUAUUCCAAGUUUUCUUGAAGCAAGAGCUAAUAUAUUGAGUCCAAAUCAAGAAAAUUUUGCAUGAUCGCAAUGGUGCUGAGAAAACAUAAAUGAUAACAGCUGAAGUACGUGAGAAUUUUGAAGUAAACAAAUAUUCUAUGAGGUGAACGGGUCCGGUCAGCAGCCAAUAGCCAAUGCUGUGUUGUGCCUUGCCAGCUCUUUUGCAAAGUCAAUUCACACACAUAUGACCUUCACUGUUGCUUGCUCUGUAUACCCUCCGUUGUCUUCCUCCAUUUUCAUCAUCAACCUCUCCUCAUACGUACAAACACAUUAAAGAAACCGAAGAAAAUCAAAGAAAUCCCAUAUACAAUAUGUCAUCUUUGCAACUUCAAGCUUUCUUUUCUCUUCUACUUGUAGUUGUUCGACAAGAACCAACCAAAGCAGCCAUUUCCGUCCCUAAACUUCCUAGAAUUCCCUUUUCAGAUCCAAAAAAUCCAUUGAAUUGAACCUGUUGAGGAUUUUAAUUUACGAGAUGGGUCCAAAGGCACAAUCCCAUUAGAAAACAAUAAUGUUGCAAAUAACACAAGACUUGAUCAAUAUGAGCCAAUCAUUUCUACAACCGGUACUCCAGCAACAGCCAAGCUUUAUGCGAUCUUGGAAGCUGUCGGUAUAGAGUAGAGAUGCAUGGAAAUAUUGGCGAGCAACGUGACAACUGGAACAAGCUUCUUUUGAACUCAAUUAAUAUGAAUCACCCUCACAGCUGCAACCAUGGCUGGUAUUGCAGCAGGAGCUCCUCUUUUGGCUCUGAAGUUACCAUCAACUCUUUUAUUUCUGCAGCUACAGGGAUGUUAAUCUUCAUGAACAAAAUCCAACCUUCGCAGUUAGCAGAAGAGCAAAGAAAUGCCACAAGAUUGUUCAAGCAACUUUAUAGCCAAAUUCAAACUACACUUGCUCUUCGCGAUCCUACCGAGUUAGAUGUGAAGACUGCAAUGGAGAAAACAUUGGCUCUUGAUAAAGAUUACCCUCUUCCUUUGCUAGGGAAAAUGAUUGCAAAGUUUCCUGAACAUUUCGAGCCUGCUGUCUGGUGGCCUAAAUCACAUGAAUCCCCAAGGAAGCAGCACAAAACACAAGCGAAGAAUGGGUGGAGUGAAGAUCUUGAAAAGGAAAUGAGGGAGUUUAUUGAAGUGAUAAAGAGAAAAGAUAGUGAAUACUCCAAAUAGUCCUGACAAAUGGUGGUUGAGAUAAGAUUUAGCAUUUUUGAAUCACGAAAUGCUAGGUUUUCAUUUCGUAUCACAAAAUUAUGGCCAUCUCAGGUCCAUUAAUUACUUACAGGCCUUGUCUUGGAGCUGGUGGAGACGACGGUGGAUUUGUUAGCAGUGCUAGCUGCAACUGGAAGAGAAAGAAAAGGAAGAAAUCUAUAGAGACAAGACGGAGGAGCUAUUAGUGGUUACCUAUAUCGCUGGUGAGAAGAUGAGUUCGCAGGGAGUCUGAGCCGCCGUCUAUCACAACAUGGAGAAGAUUAUGGUGGCAAAAGAACUAGUAGAGAGAGAUAAAAAAAAAAAAAAAAAGAAGAGACAUCGACUAGAAAAAUUGGUUUCUGACGAACUUUGAAUUUGAUGUGUCCAAAAUAUAAGCCUUACAAUUUUGAUAUCUUAUUUUUUUUCUUAGCUUUAUUUUUUUUGGUAAAAAUUAUUAUUAUUUUUAAUUUUAUCAUUUAAUUACAAUAUUGUUUUUAUUUUGAAAAAUAGUCUGCCCUGGGUCUAAAGCUAAUAGCAUCUAAGCAAAAUUGGUGAUUAAACAAUACAUUUUCAAUUUUUUUUCUUCGUAACCUCAAAAGUAACCCAACUUUUCCUUUAUUUCCCUUAUUCUUAAUCUUAUCCUAAUCCCAAUUAACAAUUAAAUGAUGUAAUCACAUUAGGUUGAAUACUCCUAUAUAAUUUAAUUUUGAAACCCAAACUGGAAAGAUUCUGGUUGAUUUUGAUUUCAAAGAUAACCAAUUCAUAUGGGUUUAAGGAUACUUUCAAAGAGUUAUUCAUGUCAAUGCACAUGCGUUAUAUUAUUAUUAUAUUUAUUUUAAAACACUAGCAUUAUAAUUAUUAAGGUACUUUUAUUUGUUCAAAUUGAAACUUGCUUUGGGAAUAAUGAUAAAUUAAAUAUUCUAUUGAAAAAUCUUAAAAAAAAAAAGAUCAUGUUAAUGAUGUUGCGGACAUGACAUCAAAACAUUAAUAAACUAUCAUAUGCCUCUUAAGAAGGUAUUGUUGUUGGGAAGGAAAAGACUUUAGGUUUAAUCAUAAAAUUAUGAUUAAAGUUCAAGAAUUGUUAUCUAAUAUUAUGAUUACUAAAAAUCUAUGAUUUUGCUAGAGUCUGGGUAAAUGACUAACUGUGCAAGGAGAAGCAGUAUCACUCCAAAUAUAUCAUACCUAAAAUAAGUAGCACUGUUAUUUGGAUGUAUUUCUCUAAGUCAGGUUUUUAUUUGUUAGUGUUUUUCUUAGGUCUAAGACAUAUCAUUUUAAAUUACCUUAUUGAGUUUAAUCCUAACUAUUUUAGAGUUUGGAUUUUAGUAUUGUAUUUAUUUUAAACUUUGUAUAUUUAAUACAUGAGGGUAUACUCUAUUGUUUAGUCUUAUACCAUAGAUAUUAAAAUCCAUAUUUAAACCCUAAUAUAAAACGAUUGGAAUAAUUUUUGAUAUUUUGUUCAAAUCCUAUUAGAUAAUCAUAAACUGGUUACAAUAUUUAUUUAAAAAAAAUAAUGAGAAAGAUGCAAUUUUUUAUUUUUUUUAUACGAAAAUAUAGUUGGAAAACUUUUUAGGAUUUUAUCAUAUGCAUGAAAACAAUUUUUUAUUUGAAAGAGGAAAUUAAUUUAAAAAUUUUGAGAUUUUUUUUUGAAAUAUUUAAGAGGAAAUUAGGUAUUUAAUACCGGAUCUAUAUCUUACAGUGUAAAUAUACAACCCGAUAUCAUGCAAAAUUGAUAGAAAAAUAUAAGAGAAAAUAAAAAAUAUUUUGAAAUGCCCCUUGUAAAGUUUUUAGAUUUUUUUUAUUUUUUUAAUAUAUAAUAUUGUAAUACAUAUUAUUAUAUUAUUUAUCAUUAAAUAAUAAUAAAUAUGUGGGCUUAGCUAGCUCAGUUAAUUGGGCUGAGCCCAAUUAGGUUGGCCAAUCUCGGCCCACCAUUUGUUUUAAUUUGGGUCGGACCCAACCUAACCAUUUGGGCAUGGCUAAGAUUGGUCCAACCCAAAAUGAGGGGUUAAUUAUUUCCACCACAUGCCAUGCAGAAUGCAUUAUCGUUCUAUAUGCAUAAUAAUGGCAGGGGGGAGGAUGGAUAAGGAGAAGGUGGAGGAAGGAUGGGUUGCUUGGCGUGGAGAGUUGCUGGUGGCCUUGCCAUGGAGCUGGUGGAGAGGACAGUGGAUUUGCUGGCAGUGUUGGCUGCAUUUGGAAGAGGAAGAAAAGCAAGAAAUCUACAAAAGGUAGACGGAGGAGAUAUUGGUGGUUACCCCUAUCGUCAGUGAGGAGAUGAGUUCGCAGGGAGUCUGAGCUGCCGUCUAUCACAACGUGGAGAAGGUUAUGGUGGCAAAAGAACUAGUAGAGAGAGAGAAAAAAGAGAGAUGUCGACUAGAAAAAUUGAAAAAAUUAGUUUUUGGCCAACUUUGGAUAGGUCAAGAACAUAAGUCUUACAAUUUUGAUAUCUCAUUUUUUUCUUGGCUUUUUUUAUAUAUAUAUAUAUAUAAAAGUUAUUAUCAUUUUUUUAAUUGUAUUUUGAAAAACAGUCUGCCCUGGGUCCAAAGCUAGAAUCAUCUAAGCAAAAUCGGUGAUUAAACAAUAAAUUUUUAAUUUUUUUUUCUUCAUAACCUAAAAAGUAACCCAACUUUUCCUUUAUUUCCCUAUUAUUAUAAUUCUAUCCUAAUCCCAAUUAACAAGUUAAUGAUGUAAUCAAGGAGAAGACAUUGGCCAUUUCCAAAUAUUCUAGUUUUCUGUAGUUCUUUAUAUCGUGAGACUAACUUGUGGUAGGGGCAAAAAGAACUUGAAGCAAGAGCUAUAUAAUGUAUUGAGUCCAAAUCAAGAAAAUUUUGCAUGAGGAAUGAUGCCACACGAAGCUGAGAAAACAUAAAUUAUGACAGCAGAAUUGAUCAAUUUAAGUUGCAGUCUAAGGCCCGGUAGAGGUAGAGGCAGAGGCUGGAGUAAGAAUCUUGAAGUAGACAAAUUUUCCAUGCGGUGAACGGGUCCGGUCAGCGGCCAUAAGCCACUGUUGUGUUGGACGUUGUCAGCUCUGUUAUGCAGUCAAUUCAACACAGAUGACCUUCACUGUUGGUUGCUAUAUAUACCCUCCGUUGUCUUCCUCCAUUUUCACCAUCAACCUCUCCUCAGACGUACAAACACAUUAAAGAAACCAAAGAAAUCUCAUAUACAAUAUGGCAUCGUUGCAAGCUUCAAGCUUUCUUUUCUCUUCUACUUGUAGUUGUUCAACAAGAACCCACGCAGCCAUUUCAAUCCCUAAACUUCCAAGAAUUCCCUUUUCAGCUCGAAAAAAUCCAUUGAAACCUGUUGAGGAUUCGAAUUUACGAGAUGGGUUCAAAGGUACAAUCCCAUUAGAAAACAAUAAUGUUGCAAAUAACACAAGACUUGAUCAAUAUGAGCCCAUCAUUUCUACAGCCAGUACUACAGCAACAGCCAAGCUUUAUGCGAUCUUGGAAGCUGUCGGUGAUAGAGUAGAGAUGCAUGGAAAUAUUGGCGAGCAACGUGACAACUGGAACAAGCUUCUUUUGAACUCCAUUAAUAUGAUCACUCUCACAGCUGCAACUAUGGCUGGUGUAGCAGCAGGUGGCGCAGCAGGAGCUCCACUUUUGGCUUUGAAGUUAUCAUCAACUCUUUUAUUUUCUGCUGCUACGGGGAUGUUAAUCAUCAUGAACAAAAUCCAACCUUCACAGCUCGCAGAAGAGCAAAGAAAUGCCACAAGAUUGUUCAAGCAACUUUACAGCCAAAUACAAAACACACUAGCUCUUCAUGAUCCUACUGAUACAGAUGUGAAGGAUACAAUGGACAGGGUUUUGGCUCUUGAUGAAGCUUUUCCUCUUCCUUUGUUAGGGAAAAUGAUUGAAAAGUUUCCUGACAAAUUUGAGCCUGCUAUUUGGUGGCCUAAGUCAAACAAGUCUCACAGUAGAAAACACGUGAAAGCACAAGGAAAGAAUGGGUGGAGUGAGGAUCUUGAAGAGGAGAUGAGGGAGGUGAUUGAAGUGAUAAAGAGAAAAGACAGUGAAGAUUAUAUGAGACUUGGGAACUUGGCAUUGAAGGUGAACAAGAUUUUAGCCGUCUCAGGUCCAUUGCUUACUGGCAUUGCAGCUGCUGGGUCUGCCUUUGUAGGCCAUGGAUCAUGGGCAGCAAUCGUGGCAGUCACAGCAGGUGCAUUGGCUAGCACAGUAAAUACAUUUGAGCACGGUGGCCAAGUUGGUAUGGUGGUUGAAAUGUAUAGAAACAGUGCUGGAUUCUUUAAUCUUUUGGAGGAAUCAAUUGAAUCCACAAUUCAAGAGAAAGAUUUGGAGGAAAGGGAAGAUGGAGAAAUGUCUGAAAUGAGUGUUGCAUUGAAGCUUGGAAGAAGCUUGUCACAGCUUAGAGAUCUUGCCAGAAAAUCAACUUCUUCUCACAUAGAUGGAAGCACCAUAGAUGAGUUUGCUAGCAAACUAUUUUGAAAGUAGAUUUUUCUACAUUACUAGCUAAUCCACAUUCCUUCAUUACGUUCUAAUACCAAUUCCUUUGUACAAACUACAUAGUGAAAGCUUGUUUGCAAAUCCAAUAUUAUUUUAUUUUAUUUUUGCAUUAUAAAAUUUUAAAUUGUCAACACCUCCAUUGAAUUGUUGAAUUUUCUAUCAUGAGAUCAAAUGGACUGCGAUAGGAUGUUAUUUCUAGCUGUGGAAAUUAAGGGUUAGCUAUGCGCGCAAUGGUAGAAAUUUGAAGUAUACAAGUUAUUAAGGGGUGAACAGGUCCUGUCAACAGCUAUUGUCCACUCUUCCUGGCAGUCAAUUUUUUGAAUUCGAUUAAAAAAAUAUUACCUUCACUUUUCGCAAGAUUUUUUUUUUUUAAGGUUACUACUAGAUAGUGAUUUGUGCGAGACCAUAUCAAAUGUUUUCUAAUAUAAAUUAUAAUAAUAUUUUUAAAAUAAUAAAAUAAAUUUUCAACCAAAGCUAUCGAUUAAAAAAUAUUCAAUAAACUCGAUUAAUUUAAUAAUAUAAUAAAAAAAAAUCAAUAACAAAAAAAAAUAACUAUGACUAAUUAAAAAAUUAAAUACUUACUAAUAUUUUUAAAAAAUACCCUCAAAAUUCUCAAAAUAUCUCAAUAAUUUUAUUUAAUAACAAAACAAAAUUAAUUUUUUUUAAUUAAGUAUUAUAAAUAACUUCCAUUUGGUCUCUCCUCUUGCAUUAUCAACCUCUUCUCCUAGAUUAAUAUGAAGUAAUCAAUUACAUUACAACUUUGUAUACCAAAAUUAACUUUUAAAUACAUUUAUUUAUAAAACUUACUAAAAUAAAUGAUAGAUAUACAUUAUACAAUAUUUCAUAAUUGUCAGUAUUAUAUUUUUUAUGAUAUUCUUUUUUUUAAUUUAAGUGACAAUUGUUUGUAUCUUUACUAAUAUUCAAAUACCAUUAAAGUUUAAUGGUACUUAAAACAAAUGACUUAUAGCCAAAUGCCAAUAAAAUCUUAUCAUAAUUACGAGUAAUAUUGAUAUAAUUGACUUUGAAAGUUAUAUAAAUGUCACUAAAUACAAUAAAUUAAGAUAAUUGCUUAAAAUAUCAAACACAUAAUUUUCUCUCCAAUCUUUUCUUUCUUUGGCUUGGCUACCUACAUACUUUUAGCCUCCAUGCAUGUCAGGAACACAUAUCACACCAUCCUGUCUAACCCAUAAACCAUCUUCUUUAACUCUCUCAGGCCCCCACUUUCACCAGCAACACAAGAUAUCCUUUUCUAGUGCUAGCUAGUGAUCACCAUAAUCUCUAGAGACAUAACCAUUGUACUAUGAAUGAAAUAUUUUAAAAUAUUUAUAAAUGGCGAGGAUGAUCAGGUAUGAAGGCACAGGACUCUUAUGACAACAGAUAUACUAAAAAUCCAUGCUUACACUCUCAAGUUUCUUGCUCCUGUAAUGCUUUUAUUAAAUUAAGUAUUAAAGAGUCUGUUUUGUCGGUGAUACCUAGUUACCUAACCCAACAACCAGUCCACUACUAGCUGUGAAGGAUCAAAUCCAUUUGAAGUUCAUCAAUACCUAAUAUUUCCUUCAAGAGUAUGAUCUCGCAUGAGUCUUUGGCUUCAGUGAUUUCUAAGGGCAUAUACGUACAAGGGAAGGGCAGUGGCUUUCCACCGGGACAACAAGGACGUGGUGUUCUUGUGCUUCCAUGACAAUUACAUCUCGUGAAAUAUCCAGAGCCGAGAGUUGGAAAGUUAUCGGUCAGCUUCCAUAUAAAUUUUGCCUUUAUAUAAUUCGGAAGAAUUAAUGAUAUUUCCAUGGAUGGGAUUUAAGAAACAAGAGGUCCCCUACUCGUGCAUGGAAGUUGAGUCUUAAGAAAAUCUUGCAUGAGUGAUGGUGUCGCAGGAAGCUAAGGUAGGAUACAACCGCUGCAGAUCAAGUUUUACAAUGUCAGACCUGAGACCAAAGAAACAAUUCUAAAGUGGUGAAUUGAUCCAGUCAGCAGCCAACGUGGUGGUUUGUCAACUCUAUAAUACAGUCAAUUCAACCCAUAUGACAUUUUCUUUCCACUUGUGGUGGUUGCUAUAAAUACCUUCCAUGGCCUCCCUCCAUUUUCAUCCAUCAUCAACCCUCUCCUCCCUACAUACAAAGAAACCGAUCGAAGAACAAAAGAAAUCAAAGAAACCCCAUAUUACAAUAUGGCCUCUUUAAGAGCUUCAGGCUUGCUAUUCUCUUCGUCUUCUUGUAGCUGUUCAAAGGGAAUCAAUGCUGCCAUUUCUGUCCCUAAACUUCCAAGGAUUCGUUUCCCAGCUACAGAAACUCCAUUAAAAUUAGUGGAGGAACUGAAUUUAAGAAAUGGGUUCACAAGUACAAUCCCAUCAGAAAACACAGGACUAGAUCAAUAUGAGCCAAUCAAGUCUACAACUAGUACUACAGCGUCAGCCAAGCUUUAUGCAAUCCUAGAAGCUGUUGCUGAUAGAGUUGAGAUGCACAAAAACAUCGGCGAGCAACGUGACAAUUGGAACAAACUUCUCUUGAAUUCCAUUAAUAUGAUCACUCUCACAGCUGCAACUAUGGUUGGUGUUGCGGCAGGUGGUGCAGCAGGAGCUCCUCUUUUGGCUUUGAAGUUAUCAUCAACUCUUUUAUUUUCAGCAGCUACAGGGAUGCUAAUCAUCAUGAACAAAAUCCAACCUUCACAGCUCGCGGAAGAGCAAAGAAAUGCAACAAGAUUGUUCAAGCAACUUUAUGGCCAAAUUCAAACUACACUUGCUCUUCGCGAUCCUACCGAAUUAGACGUGAAGGAUGCAAUGGAGAAAACAUUGGCUCUUGAUAAGGCUUACCCUCUUCCUUUGUUAGGGAAAAUGAUUGAAAAGUUUCCUGAAAAUUUUGAGCCUGCUGUCUGGUGGCCUAAACCACAUGAAUCCCCAAGGAAACAGCACAAAACACAAGCGAAGAACGGGUGGAGUGAAGAUCUUGAAAAGGAAAUGAGGGAGGUGAUUGAAGUGAUAAAGAGAAAAGAUAGUGAAGAUUAUAUGAGACUAGGAAACUUGGCAUUGAAGGUAAACAAAAUUAUGGCCAUCUCAGGCCCAUUACUUACAGGCAUUGCAGCUGCUGGGUCUGCCUUUGUAGGCCAUGGAUCAUGGGCAGCAAUAGUGGCGGUGACAGCAGGUGCUUUAGCCAGCACAGUCAAUACAUUUGAGCAUGGAGGGCAAGUUGGUAUGGUGGUUGAAAUGUACAGAAACUCUGCUGGAUUCUUUAAACUCUUGGAGGAAUCAAUUGAAUCCACAACUCCAGGAAAAGAUUUGGAGAAAAGGGAAGAUGGAGAAAUGUUCGAAAUGAAUGUUGCAUUGAAGCUUGGAAGGAGCUUGUCACAACUUAGAGAUCUUGCUAGAAAAUCAUCUACUUCUCAUGUAAAUGGAAGCACCAUAGAUGAGUUUGCUAGCAAACUCUUUUGAUAGUAUUAGACCUCUCUGUCCAUAACUAAUUCACAUUCUUUUAAAAAUUCUUUCUGUACAUCAAAGUAACAUGUACAGAUUAACCCUUAAUUUCUUUUGUAAAUGACAUUAAAUUUCUUUCAUCAAGAUGUUAUGUAUGAGAAACUUCUCUCUUACUUUACAGAUUACCACUAAAUUCAUGAGAUUUGAUAUCUAAAAUGUAAAGGGAAUCAAUGUUCUUAAAUUUUACAUUUGUUCCAAGUGGCUGUAGUUCGAAGAGAGCAUUGUCAAAGAUUACAAGUUUCAUGUAUUCUUGUCCCUGAUGGUUACGGCUAGUUAUUAAAUAUAUGUUUCUCAAGCCCUCAAGUUAUUGAAUAAAUAUCCUAGUUGAUUUAGCCGUCAUUUAAGCCACGAAAUUCAGAGGCUGGUCUUCGUUUGCUUUGAUUCAAAGCUGUAAUAUUUUUAUACAUUCCAAGAAGAGAAAUGUCAAAGUAUAAAGUUUUGAAUAAUCAGAUGUCACAGUUUCUUUUAUUUUAUUGAGAUGUGAACAGUGGAACUUAGAAUGAAUGGACUUGAAUUUAAUUUCAAGCCAUUUACAGGGCUUAAAGAAUCAGUCCAAUAUGGCCCAAACAGAACGUCCGUCAAACUUGGUUAAUUCUAUUUUCAAAUUGUUUUUAAAUUAUUUUUAAUUUGAAAAAAAAUAUUAAAUUAAUAUUUUUAUUAUAUGAUAAUUUAAAAAAAAUACAUAAAAAAACAUCAUUUUAAUACAAUUAAAAAGCCUCUUUCCUCAUUAUCAAACUUUAGUUGAGAUUAUGAGCAUCACCUUUCAUCAUAAAGAUGAGAUGUGCCAAGUCCUCUUGGGAUUGUUAAUGGAAACACCAAUAGUGGAUAAACAAAUUGUUCAUGGUCAAGGUUUAAAUAUAAAUUUGAGGAUUUAAUCAAGCUCUCGAACAGUAGCCGCAAAUGAGAGAUAUGUUUCAACAUCCUGGGGGGCAAGCGCUUUGUGCUUUGCUUUUCUUAUAUUAUGGGUUGACUCCGUCGCCCGUCUCAUCUUUCCAAAGCAUGGUAGCUGCAGAUGUGUAUCGGUCAGCAGAUAUUCUGUAUUCCAAAGGUCUUUUACCAGAAGAGGUCUAUUACAGAAACUCUAAAAUACGUUGGAAUUCUAUUAUGUAUGCUUCGUUGAUCAAGAGACAAUGGCCUUGGACUCGCACAGUUGAUUCUCACAACUUUUGAAAGCCACUUUGCUUUUCGUGUAGGCUUAGAAAGGCUUUGGAUUUUCUGAAGGUUCAGAGGGGCUUGGAAAAGCAAGCCACCGGCUUAAAACUAGUUGCAGAAACAGGCUGAGAGACAAUACCCUUGCACAGCUGAUUUUCAUGUCUCGAGCAGUUCCGUUUAGUCUGUUUGGAAGUAAUACUUUUUACUUAGAAAAGCAUGUUAAUAAUAUUUUUUUAUUUUUUUAAAAUUAUUUUUGAAAUCAAUACAUCAAAAUAAUUUGAAAACAUCCAAAACAUAUUAAUUCAAAGCAAAAAAAACAAAAUUCUUUUAAGAGCUUAUAAGCCACCACACUAAAACCACUGCCUAUAUACAGGGAAGGCUCACAAAAUUCUUUGCCAGGCAGUGUGAAGGGGCGACGGGUGCUUGAAAUGAGCAACACGCAAAGAAAGUAGAUGUGGUUUUCAUUUAUUAUCAUGAAAUUUGUUCUCAUUUGGAACGAUGUAACACAAUCAUUCCUGUCAAUUAAUAAUGAAAAUAUGAACAAGAUACAGAGAACAACUUGGAGACAUAAAUAGGGGAGAUUUCGUGGAUGGAGUUCAUCGAAAACAGGUCAAAACAGGAACCAAUUAGAAAAUGCAGGAACUGAAGUACGAAACCUGAGUUAAGAUGGCUUGUAAUACUUAGUUGGUACAAAUGGCUUUUUUGUGACAACUCCAUCAUAGGCCUUCCCACGAACCAGUAUUUUCGCUUUGGUGCCUGACUUGUGGAAACCAGAUUUCACGUACCCCAUGGCUAUAUUUUUCUUGAGGCAUGGGCUAAAUCCUCCACUAGUAAUUUCUCCAAUGCUAGUCCCUUUCUCAUCCUGAAUCUCACUGUGGGAUCUAGGAGGUGGACCGGUGGAGCUAAAUCCUACAAGCCUGAUUUUUGGACCUUCUGCAAGUUGUUUGAGUAUUACUUCAGCACCCAGAAAGCCGCCUUCUGCCUUCCUUCUCUUCCCUAUCGCCCAAUUCAGUCCUGCCUCUACUGGUGUUAUGUGCUGUUCCAUGUCAUUACCAUAUAAGCACAGCCCAGCUUCAAGUCGGAGACUGUCCCGAGCACCAAGCCCUGUCAACCUUACUUUUCCUUCAGAUUUUUCUAGGAUUGCUUUGGCAAGAUCCACUGCAUUCUCUGAAGGAACAGAAAUUUCAAAUCCAUCUUCACCAGUGUACCUGAAAAUGUCAGCAAAGAGGCAGAAGAAAUCCAUCAUGUCCAAGUAUGAAAAACAUAAACAUGGAAAGACAUGGUUUAAAUGACAUUAUUUACUAAUUUCUUCUUCACGAUGUCAAAAUAAAGGGGUACAGUUAUAGACAAUUACCAUGUUCCACUCAUUUUGUUGCAAAAUAAAGAAUAGGGGAAAUUAAGCACCCUCAAAACGCUUCUUAAGCUCUUAAUGCUACAUAUAAAUGGUCAUAGAUGUGCAUUCCAUAUUUGAGGACAUAUAAAGUAGGAGAAACCAAAAGGAAGUGUACCCUGUCCUAGUAAUAAAGCAGCGCGCUCCAUUGAUGUCUGUAAUACGGAACUCCCCAAAGUAUACCUUGCUCAAAUCCUCUUUUGUCAGGUGUUGGAGAACAGGGGCAGCAAGAGGACCCUGCACCACAAAAAAAGAGGAAACUCCGUAAGGCCAUGAUAUGAGGACACCGUUGCUCCUGAAAAGGUUUGGCAGUGGCAUACAAUAGAAGAAGAAAGAGUAGUUCAAAGCACAAAGGUAUUAUUACAAUGCGGGAUAGUACACAUUUCAACAACCUGCCAGACUUGCUUUAGUUGUAUACUAAAGUCGCGAAUUACUUGAGAGCUGGAUUCAAAUAAUUAAUUUUGCAAUAAUUCAUGAAUAUCAAGACACAAUAAAAGAUCCAACGAGGAAAAAAAAACGAAAACAAAAGGAGAGACAAAGAUAAGAACACAAAAUUGACCUGGAGGGCAAGAAGAGAUCUCUCAUCAUGGAUGUGCCAUGAGACAUCUCCACCCUUUGCCUUGAAUGACUUCAUAUGUGCCUCGAUGUGAGCAAGAUCCUUAUCUCUACACCCUGCAUUCACAACUAUGUACAUGUGAUCAUCCGUCACCUUGGUGAUCACUGAAUCAUCAAUUGCUCCUCCUUUCUCAUUAGUAAAGACAGUUAGAGUCCCAGUUCCAGGUGCAAGCGCAGCAACAUCAGCAAUAACAAGUUUCUCUAGGAAAGGAACACAGUCCUUUCCCUUCAGGCUAAACCCACACAUAUGUGAGACAUCAAAAAGGCUACCAUUCUGUCUACAAUUCACCGUCGAUUCCAUGAUGGAGUCCUUGUACUGGAUGGGCAUGCUCCACCCAGCAAAUGGCACCAUCUUGCCACCAUUAGCAACAUGGAAGUCAUAAAGGACAGUCUUUUUCAUCUCAGCUUCUGAGGCAAAGUAUCGACGUCCCACAGCCUUCUUAUCAGUCUGAGCAAGGCGGCGGGUUAUUGAUAGGCCAAGUUGCCACAAACCUCCUCCCCUCAUCUUCUUAACAGAGCAAAUCUAAUCAAAACAACAAUCAUAUGAACACUUUGAUACAACUGGUGACACCGAAAUGAACAUACCAUAAUCAGCGCAGGCCAAAUACAGAAUAAGGUUGGAUUUUUAUUAUUUGUAUAAACAUAAAGAUUGGAUUUUGAUCGUAUCUAUGUUUACAUAUAAUCAAACCACAAAGAGACAAACGAUACCAGCAACUUAAAACCAGAGCAAAAGGGAUCGCAAAUAUGUUAGUGUCUGAGAGAGGAGAACACAAGGAAACUAGGACAUGAUUUACAAGCCACUGACAUUACCUGUCACAAAACAAACCAAAACAUGCAAUCCAGGCAACACACUAGCAAUCAAAACAAAAAUGACAAACCUUUCACUUCCCAUUUCCAAACAAUAUCUCAAAACACAAUCAACAAUCUAAAACGAAGCCGAAUGCAAAAUUGAAAAUGGGUUUUCUAGAUCUCAUUAAAAUACUCAUUACUCACAAGAAGCACCAUCAUUCAAUCUCAAACCCUUGUAAAUAAACCACAUAUAAAAAGAAAAGAUGCAAUCUUUACAGCAUAAUUGCAUAGCAAAUGUUAUGAACAUGAAAACAGAACAAUAAAUAGAGAAGCUUACAUGGUUGUUCUUUGUGGUGGUGAGUGUUGUUCAAAGGAAAGCAAAUCCUGGAGAGCUCAAAAGAGCAUCUCAUGCAGUGGAGUCUAGAUGGAUAGAGAGAUAAAAUAUGGCCACUCUUAUAUGUGUUGGACAUUAUACUAUGUUUUUGUAGCAAGGAUGUUUGGCUGGUGUGUGUAGUAGUGGGUGGAGGAGGGUGUCUCUGCCAAAUCAAGAUACAGCCAUCUCUACAACCCCAUCGCUAGUGAGUGGUGCCUAGGACUAUCGACUUUGCAGCCCCAUCUUAUUUUUGUUUUUUUUCUUGUUUUUAAGGUUAGAAUAUUUUCAUAUCAGCUAUCUUAUAAUAAAAUUGUAUUAUUUAGAUAUCUUAACAAUAAUCUCAACUGUUCCUUCUAAAUUUUAAGUUAGUUUUUUAAUGUUUUCCUAUAGUUAUUAGCAUUUAAUCUUGGAUUAAGAAAAAUGAAAUUCUUGUAAACUUAUUAAUAUAAGUAUAAAUAGUCUAUUUUUGAGGAGGUUCAAAAAUCAAACUUAAAUUAGUUACAUUUAUAUUAAUUUGAGAAUACAUAUUUAACCCAAAAAAAUAAAUUAAAUAUGCAAUAAUACUGUUUAAUUAUUGUUUUGGAAAAAAAAAAAUAGAAACAGAAUAUAUUUGAUUUAAAAAACAUAAAAAAUAAAUCUGUUUACAAAACAAUUUUAAAAUAAAUUCAAAGAAUUUUCAUUACCAGUGAUACGCUACGGUUUUCAGUUUUCAUUUGCCACAGUUUCAUGUGGACCUAUUAGAGUCUAAUGGAUGUCAAGAGGUACAAUCCGACACCAGAGAAUAUGCACCCUUGAUUUCAAGGACCUUAUCUGAGAUGAUGACUGGUCCUCUUAAAUCUGAGUGCAUUAGAAUUAGGGUGUAAGGUUAUUGAUGGUGGAACUUAGAGCAUGGGAUUAGUAUCAUUAACUGUAUAUAGAGGAAAAGAGAAGAGGAAAGAGGGUGGUUGGUGAGAUUUGAGAGGAUAACACCAAGUCAGGGAAAGGCAAUUGGCAGUUCAAAUUUGGCUGCUGAAUCUUGUUCAAUUUCUCAAGCCAGCUUGAUUUCCAAUUUCAACAAAGACUCAAGGUGAGACCUUGUCGAGUUGCAUGCAUUUAGCAUGAGGCUAAGGAUGAUCGUGUAGUUUCUGUAAAGGGGUCUGGCGCUAUACUUGUUAAAUAAUUAUUUUAAUUUAAUAAUUUAAGUUGUUAGGUAAAGUUUCAGGAUAUGAUUUAUAUUAUUUUUUUAAUAUAUUUCUUCAAGUGAAAACCUUUUAAACUUGAAAUUUAUAUAGACUUAUAUUAUUUUGUAUUUAAUUUUUAUCAAAUAAAUGAGGAUGACGAAAUUCGAAUUCGAGACCAUUUGGUUAUCAAAACUCUAAUAUCACAUUAAAAAACUAUCUCAAUCCAAUAAUUUAAACUAUUUUAGAAUAUAAUUUUAUAUUAUUCUCUAAUAAUAUUUUACAAAUGAAAUUAAGUUUGUAUCUCCCAUAUCCUUUGCAGAUCAAGUUCUGUUUUGCAGAUCAAGUUCCGUGGGUAUUUAUUUUACACAAUUAGGACUACAAAUGAAUUCUCUAUUUCUUCUUUCUAUAUACGACCGCUCCACAAUCUUGUCAAAAUCUGAAAAUGAGUGGCAAGAAAUUUGUUGUCAAGAACAAGGCAACCCCAUCUGUCAGUUCUACAAGAUUUUCCCUGUAAUUUCAGUAUUGUAUCUCAUGCUUGAGAUAGACAUUUUGAAAGAUGAUCAAACUCUUCAAAACUAAACCAGAAAGAGAGAAUAAUACCAACAAGUGUUUGGUGAAACAGAGAAGAACACAAGAUCCGAAUCUGAGUUUCAGUUUCUCACCCUUGAUAAUUACCAUAAAAAUCAUUUCCAUGUUGCAUAUAUUACAAUCUGAUAAUCACAAGCAUUUGUUCAUGUUUUCUAGCAUUUGCAAUCGUGGCUUGAAAAAAUAUGGUUUAAGAAAAACUAGAAAUUAUAACUUAUUAUUAGAGUUCAGAAUAGAGUGGGACUUGUGUAAAAAAUCAUUUCCAUGUUGCAUUAUAAUUAGCUAAUCACAAGCAUUUUCUCAUGUUUUCUAGCACUAGAGGGGUUUUAUUGGACCAAAGACCUUGCUUAAUUAAAUGUGUGUUUGUCAUUAUGUUAGCUUUUAAAAGAAUAGCACGUUUAAUAAAAACUAUUAAUUAUAAUUUUUUCUUAACUAAAAUUUUAAAAUAGAGUUUUCAGUAUGAGUCAUGUAAAAUUAUGAUGUAUUUUAAAAUGAUUAUUUUUAGGGUCUGUUUGAGAUUAUGAUAGCGAUUUAGUUCAAAAUGCUUUUUUUUUUAUAAAUACAUUAAAAUAAAAUUUUUAUUAGUUUUUUAAAAAUUAAUUUUUAUAUCAAAAAAAGAUAUCACAACAUAAAAAAAAAUUAUUAUUAUUUUUUAAAAAACACCCGUCGUUGACUUCCAAACUCUAGUUUGGAUUAUUGAGCUUUCUUUGAUGACUUUUUAUGAAACUAUUGUGCUUUUGUAAAUUUUUCCUGGAAGUCUUCUAUUAUUGCAGCUGCCACGCGAUAUUUGUAGCUGCCACGAUAUUUGUACAAGUAUAUCUUGAUUAACUUGUAACUUUUAAAUAUUUGAUUGCAAGGUGGUAGGAGGAUGGUUACAAACUUACAAGGAAAAUUGUUGUCAGGAGUUAUUGACAUUCUUAAAGCUCUAGCUUCCAUGAUUGCUAGCCAUUGAACUACUGUGGAAACUAGAUGAACUAAAACUAAAUAUUAAACAAUCAAUAUAGAUAUGUAAGUCUUCGGUAUUAUUUGCAAAAACAUCUAAAAGUGUUCAUGAACUAGGAUGUAAAAUCACAAGGGUAACUAGGCAAGUUUUCCACAUCAGGAAAUUAGAUAUGAAUGCCUUGAUUUUGUUAGUAGCCAACCUGUUUUGUAUAUCGAAAAGCUAGAAUGAGAGUUUUUACAAAUUAUAUUGCAGUAGAAGCGGUUAGCGAUCAUAUGGGAUAAUAUCAAUUUCGAGGCUUUACCAUGUAGGAUAUAUACUUUAGAACUAGUUUAUUUGAUGAAUAUUUACGGAUGUAGUUUAUAUUAUAUUUAUUAUUUAUAUGAUAAUAAAUUUAUAUUCAUCAAGCUAUAUAUAUUAAUUUAAAUAUUCAAAUUAUUUAUUAUUUAAUAAUGAAAUAAAUCCAUCCUUUAAGUUGAUAUCUAUCAUAUUCAAGUUAAAUUAUUAGUACUAAUUUGAGUAUGAUUUUGUUAGAUGGUUGUAUGAGUAAUGAUGUAGUUUUUCAUUUGUAAUUUAUUAGCAUCAUUUCUUUUUAAAAUAGUUUUUAUUUAAAAAUAUAUUAAAAUGAUAUAUAUAUAUAUAUAUUUUUUUUUUUAAAAUUAUUUUUAAUAUAAUAUAUUAAAACUAUAUAUAAAAGAAAAAGAAAACGGGUUCUUAAAUAUCGAACUUUGCCACGCAAAAUCCCAGCAAAGGACAAACCUUCCAAAGUCAGAGUCACCAAAAUAGCGAUUCUAACAACAAUAACCAGAAAAAAAUUAUGGUGGAAUCAAGCCAUCACUGGAAUCUGUCAUAGCCAUUCAAUAAAUUGGUGGCUUAAGUACUUCCCCAUAUCAUUCAAAGAGAUUCUUUCUUUCUUUCACUCUUUAUUAACCAACCAGCUGUCCAUACUUGAGUUUUCAUCAAAUUGUCGAUUGCAUCAUUACCCUCUUAGCUAUGUUGCUGCUAAUGAGCUUAUCUGAAUCUAGAUAAGGUAAAGUUCAUUUCUUUUGAUAUGUUGCUUCUUUAUUUUUAUUUUUAAAGUUUGUUGUGUUUUAAUGGCGUUGUAGUUCAAAGAUUGGAUUUUUAUGGCCAUAAUCCUUAGAGCAGAAAAACCCAUGUCUUUUUUUGCUUGAUUUUUAUGGUUGUAAUCUUAUUGGAACUGAAACCCAUGUUUUUGUUUGCUAAACUUCUGGUUGGUUGCCUAGAAACAUGAGGGUACUAGAGAAGGAAAGUGAUAUGGAAGUGGCACUUGAUGUGUUUGUAGGUUAUGAAUGUUCAUAAUGAGAAUUUGUUUAUAGUUAUUAGCUAAUGAAAAACUACUAAGCAUAAACAUGAAGUCUAUAGCUUCAGUUUUCUUAUAGUUGAUGAAGCACAGAGGAUUAUGGAAAUCAAUUAGAAGCUUCUUUUGUCUAAAUGAGAACUCAAACUUCAACAAUAGGGUUAAAACUUGAAAGCUGUUACCAGACUUUUUGUUUGUAGGGGAGGGGGGGAGAUAGUAUUGUUUUCAGUGUGUUUCAGCUAACAGUAUCCUGAAACCAAUUUUGGGACACAAAGACUAAGUGUUGAUUUAAUAUCAUCUAAGCAAGGAUUAUGAUUUAUCUGAAUUUCAUUGUCUCCUUAAACAAUAUGGGUGUUUGUCUUCUGUUUUGAAGGUAAUGAAUUUAUGAUGGUUUAGCCAUGGUAACCAUCAAUCCAUCAGGAGUUAGUAGCAAGUGCAGCGCAUAUCUGGGUGUUAACACACUUCAUGAUGCUUCUUUUUGCAAGAUUACCCAUGUCAAUACUUUGAGUACUGCCUUUUCUCCUAGAAUUGUAUGUGGUCCUUGCAGUAAUGUAGCGAAUGAUUCCACAAUUUCUUGGAAGGGGUGCAGCCAACUCAGAACCCAUCAUGUAUUACAGCGAGUGGCUUCAAAUAGGUGGCUGGUAAGUAUCAGUGAAGCUUCAGGGUUGAAGAUUUCUUUUGAUUUGAGUUUGAUUGGGCGUUCAGUAAUGGUUACAUUACAUGAUACAGUGCCGAUCACAUGAUUCUAAUUCACCUGAUGAUGAGUAUCAUUCUUCUCGAAACAUAGCAAUCAGUUUGUUUAGGCGAUACAGGAAUGUCAUUGACCGUGGAGGAGGUGACAACUUAAAAGUAUAUUCAGCAAUUUAAUCUUUAUCCAUCAUUAUGUGGGUCUUUUUUUGCUGUCAUUCCCAAAUUACAUGUUUGAGUGAUGCUGCCUGUCAGGAGUUUAUCAGUGCUGGGGUGAAUGCAUAUGCUGUUGGCUGCACUGAAGAAGGAUUACGUAAGGAACUUACUGCUAUUAGAGAAUCUGGUGUUGAAAUCGAAGCAUUGCAGAAUUAUGGUGGGAGCACCAGUGUGAAGUCCAAGAUACUUGCUGAGGAGGUAAGUUAAUCCUGCCUUGUUGGCCAGUUCAAUGUAUGACAGUAUAUACUUAAAAUUAAGGAUGAAUCAACACCAUGGAAUCUAAUACGCCUCAGUAUUGCAUCUUUCUUUCUUGCUGGGAUAUUAUAGGCUUUGAACUACUUUUUAGUUAACGCUUCUCUCACCACAGUAAGGAUCCUUGACAUGCACUGUCAAUAUUAUAUAUGGCGGUUUUUAUUGUUGCUGUCUUUAUGAUGCAGCAUUUGUUUGAAUUUAUAAUAGAUACUGUAAGGAAGAAUAGCAUUUGUCACCACGUAAGGAAUCCAUGCCCUCUCUUUCUGUUGUUAUGAGAUACCAAUGGAUGCCAGAAGAAUUAUUUGCAUUUUUUGUUUACGAUCUUUAUGUUCCCAACAAAACUUUUUGCAACCUGCAUUUCUAUGACUAUUGUGAUUCGCAAUGAUAGUUUUACUGUUGAUCAGAUAAAUCUAUCACUAGGAUUACAAGUAAUAAGGAAAUGGAUGAUGGGCUAACUUGUGGCAUCGCAAUUUUUUUUUUUUCAAACUGCAGGUUGAUGAGUGCAUUCUGUGGUUGAGCAUUAUAUUUAUCACAAUCUUGUGUACACCACAACCAACUAUAGUUCGAUGGUCAUCUACGCUUCCAGUGUCAGAUGACAUACGGCUUCAGUGGAAAGGGUUUUGUGCGGUCAUAGCAAAUGCUUACUACGUGAGAGGAAUGGCAUGGUGAGCUGCUUUGAUCACAUCUGUUUUGCUAGUAUUUUGUCCAAUACUCAUUGAUAUCAAGCUUCAUGAACUUGUUAGAUGGUUGGUGUGGUUCCUUGACAGUCCAAUCAAAGUACCAGUAAAAUUUGGUUUAUAACUAUGUUUUUUUGUUGGUUUAACCCGUAUAGAGGUUUCCCUAUUGGUUGUUUGUGUGGAAUGAGUAAGAGCUCGCCGCAAAAUUUUCCAAGUUCAGUUACAUAAUUUUCUUUCACUAUUGUUUCAAAUUGUUUGCUCUCAACAUUGUAGUCCUGGUCAUUUCUCAGUUUCAUGUGUUUGGAAAGAACAUGCCUUCUUUACUUCACCUGGCACGUCAUUUCGACAUCUAAAAAACAAUUGCAUUUAAGAUUGCAUGACUGGACUCAACUUUCUCUUUCUUUUUUGCCGAAGGCUUCCAGUUAAGACGCUUCAGCUAGAACAAAUGGCAGUUUCAGGAUGUGCUGAGGAGCCAUCAGUUGUUGCCAGCCGAAUGCGACUUGUUUUCAGCACACUUGAGGUUAGCAUACUUUGCCAUCAUUUUUCAGUUAAUGAACAGAGAUCUAAUACAAAACCUUCUUGAUGAACACCAUACAGAACCUGCUGCCUGUUUUUGACAAAUUUCACUUCCUGAAGAAACAUACAGACCUUAAGUCAUGAAUUUUUUGUGCGUCAUGUCUUAGUUAUUAGUCUGUCAAAGUUACAUUUCUUGAGAAUUACUACCCCAAAUUCAUUCCAAGUAAUGAUGUGUUGCCUAAUCUCUUUAUUAAAAUACCGAUGAUUGGUUGAAGGAAUGCUUUGCAAGUGAGAGCAGGGAGUGUUGGGUUCAGAGAAAUCACGUCCUUGAAUAUAUUGUAUUUUGCUAUUGUUUUCUCAUUAUACCAUUUGGAACAUUGAUUUGGCUUGUGCAGGUAGUAAGUCCACAAUGGCCAAGAGUCUAAUAAAAGAGCUUCAGUGCAGAGAUUCUUCUUUUCCCUUGAUCUCGAUGGAGCUUCCGGUUCCAGUUACUCAUUACAAAUUAGUGCAGCUUUACAUUUAGCAAUUUCUUAAUGGUUUUUAAGCAGAAAUGCCCAUAUAAUAAUAAACGUGUCAUAUCAUGUUUGAUGUAUAAUCGAUGGCAUGUAAAUUUGCAAGGAUUCAGCCAGAAAUCUUCAAAUAUUAUUUCGAGUGAUUGUUAAUCAACACCUGAAAAGAAUUUGGCAAGCAAUCACACCAUGGUUCUUCUUGUCCAGUGUGAAUAUUCCACCACUUUAUGCAUCUGUGGAGAAAUUGUUGUUUCCAAAUGUUCAUUAUAAACAAGGGUAUGGAAUUUCAGCACCAUGAGGUUUAUUUAAGGCGAUUCCAAGUUGGUUUUCAUCUGCUGUCUGAUAUCUGUGAGGUUGCAUGGUCAAUGACAUCAAGAAGCCUUGUAAACACUGGCUAAAAAGUUUGAAUUAUGCCAUUCAUACCGUGUCUGGCAAAUUUUCGAGUAGAAACAAGUUGUGGACUGGAGUUGUGUACAUUACAGAGCUCCCAUGCUUUAUCAGGGACACUGCUAAAAGAUCAAGGAGCAAGAAACUGCAGGUUAUGUACAUGCAGUUUCUCCAAAUUUCCCCCCAAUUGUGCUUCCUUGCAAGAAAGUUUUUUAUAAUACAUAAACUGGUUACGCAACUCUCAGUAGCGCAACCAAUUAACAUUCAACAAGUGUGCUACUUCCAUUAACUCAAUUUUAUUUUACAAGUCUGUGCUUGCCACUCGACACCUUCGUUCCUCAUUCUCCUUCAAUCCAACAGAGUACAGAAUACGUGAGGAGGAAAAGUUUUGAAACAGGAAGGAAGAAGCAUGCAUUUGAAUUAUCGCAAAUCUGAAGCAGCAGGACAGGCAGCUAGCAGCAGAGUCGUUUUGUGACUUCCUUGCAUGCCAAUAAACUGCAUUUGCCAUUUCCGAUGCAUUCAAAUAAGAUAGUGGACGUGCAGCAUGAAGAUGUUGAUACUAGCUACAAUAACAGAGCCAGUGAAGCAGUCCGUUGUGCAUUGAUCGAGGCCAUAAUGGUCCAAGAGGGUCACUGACAAAGAACUGAAUUUCUAGGUGUACAAAUUUUAUCGUUCUAGCUAGAUCAUCUAGCUCGUCCAACAUGCGUUCCGGCUUGUAUUUUACUGUGUAUACCAUGGCCGGCUCUGCACACGAUUUGUGUUUUGUGAAGGCUAAAGGUGUAUUUGAUUUUGCGGUUCAAUUGGUUUUUUAGAAUCUUCUUAAAUUAUUUUUUGCUUGAAAAAACAUUAAAUUAAUAAUUUUUAUGUUUUUUUAAAUAGCUCUGAUGUGCUGAUAUAAAAAAAAAACAAAAAAAAAACAUAAUUUUAAUAUAUUUUCAAUUGAAAAUCACUUCUACAUAACAUAAACUAAAUCAUAAGUUUUAGCGAACUUAGCUCUUGAAUUUUAAUUUUUUAUUUGAUUAUCUCAAACUAUUUUUUAAUUAAAAAUAGAUAUUUUGGUAGUUUUUAUCACAUGUGAUCUUCUAAAAACAAGGCAUAUAUUGUGAAAACACAUGAUUUGAAAAACAUUAACCGAGAAGAAAAAACCUAGACGAAGAGGCCUACCUCUUUUAGUAAAAAAACUAGUUACAUGACUCGCGCGAUGCCGCGGGUUAAUUUUUUUAUAUAUAAAAAUACCAAAAAAAACUAAGAUCUAAAAGUGUUAGGUCUAGCUUCAAUACUAGACCCAAUAGCCUUGUAUGUAGAUCUGACUGUCAUGUCAUAAAAGUGUAAUAAUUAAAUAAAUAAAUUAAAAAAAAACCAAUAGAAAGAAAAAAACUAAUGAAGGAAAAGAGAAAAAAUCUGAAUUAAUUGGGUUAACCCGUCAAACCCUAGAUUCAUGUCGUGAAAGUUUGAUAACUAAAUAGAAAAAAAAAAUUGAUGGGUUAACCCAUAAUUAAACGGGCUAACCCGUCAAACUAGGUUACUUGUCAAACCCAGGAUAUAUAUCAUGAAAGUCUAAUAACUAAAUAACAAAAAAAUUAAACACUAACAACCUAAACUAAACGAAAAAAAUUAAUUAAAAAAAACAAGAAAAAAACAAAAUCAAACAAAAGACAUAAGCCUGUUACUAAUGAGAAAAAAUAAAAAAAAACAUCUAAAUCAACUGAGUUAACCCUUCAAUUCAGGUUAACCUAUCAAACCUGAGAUUCACGUCAUGAAAGUUUAAUAACUAAAUAGAAAAAAACAUUGAUGGGUUAAACGAAAAAAAAUUAACAAACUAAACUAAACGAAAAAAUUUGAUUAAAAAGGAAAAAAAAAAAAAUUUGGGUUAACUUGUCAAACCAAGUUAACUCAUCAAACCUGAUAUCCGUGUCAUGAAAGUAUGAUAAUUAAAUAAAAUUGUUUUUUUUACAUUAACAAACUAAAUUAAACAAAAAAAUUUUCAUUAAAAGAAAACAAAACACAAAGAAAAAAGUAAAAAAUAAACCUAUAGGCAAAAAAAAAAAAAAAACAGGAAAACAAAAACGAAAAAAAAAGAAGGAAAAACUGCUACAGAAAAAAAAACCAAAAAAAAAAAAAUGUUACAAAAAAAAACUGCUACAGAACAAAAUAACGCUCUUUAGCUACAGUAAAAAAACCUACGUGUGUUUUAGAGUAUUCUGUAAUAGUUCCAAUCACUUAAAUCAAAGAAAUUAAAAUUCAGAAACUAAAUUAAUUUGGACUCAAAAUACAUGAUAGUUUUACUUAAUUUAGCUUCCUGGGUCUAAGUAGAGAUGGGGGUUUGAAGCUGGCGUGGUAUUAUUAUGGGCUGAGCUGGGAUGGAUUGGGCCUAUGAUCGAAUAAAGCGUUUAUUGAGAAAGGAAUAACUAUUUUACUAUAAUAUUAAUAUUAAUAAUGCCUAAAUAUUUUCAGUUUUUUCUUUUAUUUUGUUGACAUUAAAUUAUAUUUUUAUCGGCUUUUACAUUACUAAUGAAUUUGCUGAUGAAAAACAAUAGAAUUAUUAUAAUUUCUUACAACAACGCUUUUAAUGGAUAUAAAAUAUUCAUUAUUACUAGAAAAUUAAUAAAUCGCUGACUGUCAAUGUUUAAGCUAAAUUACUUAGGAUUUGCGGAUGAAGAGGGGGUAAUAUAAAGUUUUUUAUAGCAGUGGUCUUAAUGGAUAUAAAAUGUGCAGCACUUUCAUGUACUGUGGACGUCUGCUACAAUUCAUCUCCUUAAUAAAUGUUUUAAUUUAAUUUUGAAUGGUGUAAUUUAACUAAUUUUAAAUUUGUAUUUUAAAAAUUAAUAAUUUGAGUGUUAUAAAUUUUAAAAUCACUAGGUUCCGUUUGGGAUUGAGGUGUAACCUGCUUUUCGAAAAAAUUCAAACUUUUUUUUUUUUGCUAAAAUUGAGUGCGGUUUGUACUUUUUAGAUCGUUUUGAUGUGCUGAUGUCAAAAAUGAUUUUUAAAAAAUAAAAAAAUAUUAUUGGCAUGCUUUUCGGCACGAAAAGCUAUUUGAAAAGCAACCGCUACCACACUUCCAGACACCCUCUAAGUUAGGUUUCAGUCUAUUUAUCACUAUGUCACCAUCGUACAAAUUCUUGGGACUUCUUUUAAUUAAGACUUGUACAAACAUUUAACUUCAUAUUUAAUCGGCUUGUAAAUCUCAUAUAAAUUCACGUAGGGGAUUACAAACUUCAUAUGAUUGCGGCAGUAUCCAUCCAGGAUGAAGAUCCUAAAGAAUUAAUCAUGUAAAUUUAGAAAAAUGAAAGUUUCAUGUAUGCAUUGCUUUUGAUCACGAUAGUGCAAAGCCAAAUGUAAGAACAAGGUUCCAUAAGUUAAUUAAUGGCAAAUCUAGAAGUUGGGUUUCAGUCUGUUUACCACCAUGUCACGAUCGUACAAAUUCUUCGGAUUUAUUUUGAUUAAGACUUGCACAAACAUCUAACUGUAUCAUGGAUAUAUAGUACAUGAUUUAUGAUAAAUUAAAUUAAUUUUCCUGUGGGUUUUUUUUAAUUAUAAUAAUAAUAAUGAAGUCAAAACUUAAUAAUUAGAUCUAAAAAUUUUAAAAUUUAGUCAAAAUUUUAAAAUGGAUGGAUAAAGAAUGUAAAAUAUAAUAAAGAGUAAUCUAAGAUGGGAUCAACACAUUUAUGAAUGAUGGAAAUAAGAAAAUACAAUCACAAAUAUAACAUAAAUUAAUUAAAAUACUAAUGAUUCCCACAACAUUUGAAGUGAUUUCAUUGGAAAGCAACAUAGUCUCAAGGAUCAAUCAUGUAGGAUAAAGAAAUCCCAAUAAAAAUCACCUUAUUUAAGUUGGAGAAAUUUUGCUCGUUCCCUAGCAUAUUAUUAUUAAUUAAAGCCAUAACCUACGUCCAAGACCCCGUCAAUUAGUAGCACGCACACAAGAUGAUAACAUUCGAGUACUAGUCAAGGCCGCGCACCUCCAAACCCACCACCGUAUCCACCACCGUAACCACCACCUUUCCCCACCACCUUGAGAAUCACUGCCCCCACCACCACCUCCGCCCCCACCACCACCUCCACCUCCACUUCCAGACCCAAAUCCACUUCCAAAGCCAAAGCCAAACCCUCCACCUUUUUUACCACCUCCACCACCUCCCCCCUCCCCCUCCCCCACCCCCUCCUCCACCACCACCAAGACUUCCCUUUCCAGCUCCACCGCCAAAGCCAGCACCAAAACCAGAUCCAGAUCCAAAGUCAUAACCAGGGACAUAAUUAGAGUUGGAUGUCUCUUCCCCAUGAAGUGCACCCUCCUUGCUCAUUGCUAGCUUCCUAGCAUCUGUGACAAGAACAAGUGCAAAAAGCAAAGACAAAAUAAGCCUUGCAGCCAUCAUUAGGAGAAAGAAACACCUUAACUAGCUUGAGAUGAUGUUUUCUUAUGCAAUGACCAAACCAGUAGAGAAUUUAUAUAUAUAGCCGUAGAACUUCGAGAUGAUUAGUUGAUGAAAUUAAGGGUGCAGUUGAGAAUUAAUGUUGCAAAUUCUACACAUCCAAUCAUCUAUACGCCGUGCUUAUAUAGUUAAUAGAGCCAUCUGCCUUCAGUGAAAAACUGCCC